GAGGAAAAACGAGGAUUUAUUUUAUAGUAUUAAAUAUAUAUAUACAUAUAUAUAGAGUGAGGCUACUAUACUUCUGAAAGCACGGAGCCUUCCGUGCUUCCAGGUCGUUUUCGAUGUUGCGACUUUUGAAUCGUCGAUCGGCUCCGUUAAACUUGAUCUAGAGUAUUUGAAGUACCUAGAAAAUAAAUUUUGCAAUUUUUCGAUAUCAUUUGCCUAGUGAACUAAGGGGCUCAAAAUCAACGACUGAAAAUAAAAAUCUUACAAAACGUGAUAAUAUGACAUUAAAAUUUUAGAUCGAAGAUAUUGAUCUUGUUCUAUAUAGUAUAAAGAAUUUUCUAUCAAAAUUUCAGGUGAUUUGGAUAUUUCUACACCGUUAAACUUGCAAACGGCUCACCACGGCCAUUAAAAUUAUUGAUUUUUAGUCCCUUCGAUCACCAGGCAAAUAAUAUCGAAAAAUUAUAAAAUUUAUUUUCUAGAUUUUUCAAAUACUCUAGAUCAAGUUUAACGGAGCCGAUCGACGAUUCGAAAGUCGCAACAUUGAAAACGACCUGGAAGCACAGAAGGCUCCGUGCUUCCAGAAGCAUAGUAGCCUCACUCUAUAAUCUAUAUAUAUAUAUACUAUUAUAUUAUAUUAUAUAUUUAUUGUAUAAUAUAUUUUAAAUAUAUUUUAUUUACCAAUAUAAAUUAUAAUAUUAAUAUAUGUAAUACGAUAAUUAUUAUAUAUUAAUAAUAUUAUAUAUAUAUAUAUAUAUAUAUAUAUAUAUAUAUAUAUAUAUAUAUAUAUAUAGAGUUUUGCUAGAAUAUUAUCGGUAAUAAACGGCUCGAUUUACUACCAAUUUAUUUUUUAUGACAGAGCUUCCAAAUUGAUGAUCGACACCGUUAAGCACGAUCUAAACUAUUUAAACUAUCUAGAAAUCAAAUUUCACACAUUUUCGAUAUUGUUCUUUUGUCCAUUAAGUAAAUAGAAAAAUAAAUGGCUGAAAAUGAAUAUCUUUCAAAAAGUGAUGAUACAAUUUUUAUCUUUGAGAUCUAGAGUCUAGAUCUUAUUUUAAAUAGUUUAAAUAAUUUUUUAACAAAAAUUUAGUUGAUUUGAACUCUUCUAUACCGUUAAACGGGCAAACGCACCAUAUCGGCCAUUAAAAUUAUAAAUUUUGUGACGCUUUGAUCGUUAAGUUAGUGAUGCCAAAAAAUCAUGUAAUUUAAUUUCUAGAUAAUUUAAAUGAUCUAGAUCAUGUUCAACGAUGCCGAUCGUCGAUUUGAAAGCUCUAUCAUAAAAAAUAAUCAGUAGUAAACUGAACAGUUUACUAUCAAUAGUAGCCCAGUCAAACUCUCUCUCUCUCUCUAUAUAUAUAUAUAUAUAUAUAUAUAUAAUAAUGGUUUAUUUUUAAUUUUUUCUUUCUUUCUUAUUCUUUCAACCAAAACAACCGAACGAAAAUUUUUUUUUUUUUUUUACAAAUCAAAUGCUAAAAGAUAUAAAAUUUAUUUUCUUUCGAAAAUUUUUUUUCCACGGAAUUUUCUUUUUCGCAGUUUUACGUGAAACCAAACCGGCCCUGAAUCUUUUUCGAGAAAAACCUUCUUAGCGACAAUGGUCGACACGGCCCGCACGUCGCGCGUCCCGAGGCUCGACGUGCUGAAGUCGACCAUGGACUCGAGUGACGUGGCGCAGAACUUCUUCUCCCCCUUCAUCGCCGGCGCCUCGCAAUCUCUGGCCGUCUUCCUCAUCCACUGGGCCUCGAUGGAGUCCGGCUGGAUCGCAAACCGGCCGAGGACUUCCGGAAGCUUCUCGACGGAGAACGGGAUCGAGUCGGCUUCUUUCCUGGGGAGGAAAGCGGGGGCGAAGGUGAGUUCCGGGAAGUAGAGGGUCAUCUUCUUCCCGGGGGGGAGGUCCUUUUCCAGGAAGAAGGGUGCGACGCUGAGGUCGCCGCGGAGCUGGGUAUGGGAGGCGGCGUAAUUAAACGUCGCCCUGUCAGUAACGGAGGCGGCGUAAUUACGGUUGUCGUCAGUAUCGAAGGCGGCGGGGCCCACGCUGACCCCGGCCCAUCUGGGGCCGACGUGGACGUUCGUCGUUGGCUUGCGCUUCCCCGGAUACACGUGGACGCCCACUCCCUUCCCCACGCUGACCGAGGUCGCGGCUUUCUCCCCGGCCGCCGUUUCUGUAGUUAAGUACGUACGUACCGACAUGAAAUAAAAAAAAAAAAAAGUGAAUCGUAGCGGUAUUAAAAUAAAAAUUUUUGGUCAAUGGAUGCGAUUUGCAGAAUAUUAAAAAAAGUAUUUAUAAUUUUCUAUUGAACUUUUUUUUAUUGAAUUUACUACUAUAUGAUAAUUAUAUGAUAUAUAUGUCAGCAUAAAAUUUUGGUCCACCAAUUAAUUGCUAUCUAAAAAAACAAAAAAAAAUAUUUCUGGAACGUAGGGGCUUACAGCCGCUCUAAUUAAUAUUUUAUUAUUUUAAAAACAAAUAUAAUUAAUAAAAAAAUGAUCUCAAAACAAUCUAAUACAAAUUUCGGUCAAAAAGGAGAGAGAUAGAGAGACGAGAGCUUAGGAGGUUGCUAAUGGCGCUUGGCAUAGGAGUGUUAGGUAGGAUGGAACGCCAAUAAACUUGUGCAGGUGAAGUUGCAUGUGCAGUUGCUGCUGCGGCAACCUGAAACAGUACGCAUAAAUAAUGAACUAACUGCCUCGCAUGUAUUCACAUCUCUUGUAAAAUGUAAUGGUGAUCAGAGAAGCCAGAUUUUAUUAAUUACUUACGAGUAGUAGGGAGAGGAGAGGUAACCAGCGACCCAUGUUUGAAGCUCUGUACACUUGCAAUGAGUUAAGAGGGGAUCGAAGUGAUGGGUUUAUAUAGGGGUUAGGAAACUAGAAUUAGGAAGGUAAUUAAUUUAAAAUAUAAAAGCGUGAGGAGAAUAGGGCGGUUUUUUUUUUCUAUCUACCGAAGAAAAGUGCCGGAACUAAAUUCCAAGACAUCCCAACCAUCCUGGNAUAUAUAUAUAUAUAUAUAUAUAUAUGGAUCGGUAUACUAGUUUACACCACGUACGUCUCUCUCUUAUUUUCUCACUCUCUCAAUCCACAACCCUGUACGUACGUACAUGCAUCCUCCUAAGUGCGGCGGGUCCACACAACAUGGUCUUGCAGGAGGAAGUGGCAAACGGGCACAGUCCCGGGCUUCACCUUGAGCACCUGGAACGCUAGGUGUUUCGGGUUCCACGCCGCCGUGUCGACGUGGCAAACCGCUGCUGCGUCAACCGCCGCCCCGUCUUUCCCGACCAUUUUCACCAUGUACACCCUCGUCGAUUCCACCAGGUGGCAGUAGAAGACCGCAUACGCGUAUACGUCCAUGUGGCACACCACCCCAUCACUCCUGGCCAGUUUACGGAUGCCGGAUGACACGAUAGUGUACUCCUGCUUCAUAGCACCCUGCCAUCAAAUAUAAAAUAUUAAAAUAUAUACUAUCGAUCAGAAAUUUAUAUUGCCGCUCUGAAAGUAAUAUUCUGUACGUUAUAUAUUUAAGUACUGCGAUUGUCUGACCAGUUGAAUUUUUCCUGUCUAAUUUAAUUAUAAAAUUUUUUUUUGUCAAUGUCCUUUAAACUUAAUUUAGAAUUGUUAACUGCAUGUAAUCAUUUAUAGUUUAAAUAAAAUAAAAGAGAUAGUACAUAAAUUAAUUUUUAAUAUAUAUAUUGCAAUGAGAAAAUGCUAGUUCUACAGCGAAAUUAAGUAGUUCGAAUGGUUAUGUAUAGUCGUACCAAAUUUUGGAAAAAUCUGGUAUUUCUUUUUGUACUUUAUUUAUUUAAUUCAAACUUAUAUUUUACUUAUUUAAUUCAAACUUAUAUUUUACUCUAUAGAAAAUCCGUCAGGAAAAAAUGCUAGUAACGCGAUAUUAUAUUAAAUUACUGCGCGAUCUCUGGCAGAGCUACAGCUAGCUAAAACUUUUUCGAGAAAAACCUUCUUAGCGAAGGUGGUGGACACCGCCCGCACGUCGCGAGUCCCGAGGCUCGACGUGCUGAAGUCGACCAUGGACUCGAGCGACGUGGCGCAUAACUUCUUCUCCCCCUUCAUCGCCGGCGCCUCGCAAUCUCUAGCCGUCUUCCUCAUCCACUGGGCCUCGAUGGAGUCCGGCUGGAUCGCAAACCGGCUGAGGACUUCCGGAAUCUUCUCGACGGAGAACGGGAUCGAGUCGGCUUCUUUCCGGGGGAGGAAAGCGGGGGCGAAGGUGAGUUCCGGGAAGUGGAGCGUCAUCCUCUUCCCGGGGCGGAGGUCCUUUUCCCGGAAGAAGUUGGGUGCGACGCUGGGGUCCUCGCGGAGCUCGGUAUCGGAAGCGUCGUAGCGAAUAUUGCCAGUCGCGAAGGGGCCCACGCUGACCCCGGCCCAUCUGGGGCCCACGUGGACGCUCGUCGUUGGCUUGCGCUUCCCGGGAUCCACGUGGACGCCCACUCCCUUCCCCACGCUGGCCCAGCUCGCGGCUUUCUCCUCGGCCGCCGUUUCUGUAGUUAAGUACGUGCGUACGUACGUACAUGAAAGAAAAAAAAAAAUACGUCAAUCGUAGCGGUAUUAAAAUAAAAUUUUUUGGUCAAUGGAUGCGAUCUGCAGAAAGGAGUAUAAAUAUUAAAAGUUUUUGUAAUUUCUAUUGAACUUUUUUUUAUUGAAUUUACUACUAUAUGAUAAUUAUAUGAUAUAUAUGUCAGCAUAAAAUUUUGGUCCACCAAUUAAUUGCUAUCUAAAAAAACAAAAAAAAAUAUUUCUGGAACGUAGGGGCUUACAGCCGCUCUAAUUAAUAUUUUAUUAUUUUAAAAACAAAUAUAAUUAAUAAUAAAAUAUGAUCUCAAAACAAUCUAAUACAAAUUUCGGUCAAGAAGGAGAGAGAUAGAGAGACGAGAGCUUAGGAGGUUGCUAAUGGCGCUUGGCAUAGGAGUGUUAGGUAGGAUGGAACGCCAAUAAACUUGUGCAGGUGAAGUUGCAUGUGCAGUUGCUGCUGCGGCAACCUGAAACAGUACGCAUAAAUAAUGAACUAACUGCCUCGCAUGUAUUCACAUCUCUUGUAAAAUGUAAUGGUGAUCAGAGAAGCGAGAUUUUAUUAAUUACUUACGAGUAGUAGGGAGAGGAGAGGUAACCAGCGACCCAUGUUUGAAGCUCUGUACACUUGCAAUGAGUUAAGAGGGGAUCGAAGUGAUGGGUUUAUAUAGGGGUUAGGAAACUAGAAUUAGGAAGGUAAUUUAUUUAUUAAAAUAUAAAAGCGUGAGGAGAAUAGCGCGGUUUUUUUUUUUUCUAUCUACCUAAGAAAGGUGACGGAACUAAAUUCCAAGACAUCCCAACCAUCGAUCCUGGCUCGCGCCACUCAAUGCUAACGGACGAUGGUGGUAACUAUCUGGUGCCGUGGCUCCAUGGCAUCCACUAGUAGGGAUACAGACUUUAAUUCAGAGACAUCCCAUCCACCCUGGCUCGCGCCACUCAAUGCUAACGGACCAUGGUGGUAACUAUCUGGUGCCGUGGCUCUAUGGCAUCCACUAGGGAUACAAACUGGACGGAUGAGUGGAUCCUGGCCCCCAUUUACUUCUGGAAUUGGGGCGGAUCAAUCUUUACUCUUUAUGUUGUCGUUAUUUAUUGUUCGAUUCAGAGCGCUUCAAGACAAAAGUGAUUUGUUGGCGAAUUAGACUGAAUUGAGAAUCGAAAAAUUUUCUACCCCCACUUUAUUUUUUUAGCGGAUCAAGACGGAUUCAAAAUAAUUUUUUUAAAAAAAAUUUGGCUUCCGCUUACCCCCUUGCGGAGUGGAUCGGUGCUGGAACUCUACCACCCCACGGUCUCCUCAUGUCUCUUUCUCUUUUAAUAUUUUAUUUUUUAAAAAGCAAAGGUAGUAUACAUUUUGAACAAAAGAAAAAUUAUGUAUUAUUGUACUGUUUCUGACGAUGAGAUAUCCAAAUUAAUGACCAGUGCCCGAUAAAAUUGAAUUAGAUUAUUUCAAUAGUUCAAAUUUCAAAUUUUAUAAUAUUUCAGCAUCAUUUACUUAGUAAUCAAAUAAUUUCAAAACUAUUUUUUAAUAAUUAAUAUAAAAUAAAUUUAUGAUAACUUAAUCACUAGAUAAAUAAAAUUAAAAAAUUAUAAUAUUUGAGCCUUUAUGAAGUUCAAAUAGUAUAAAUUAUAGGUAUCAAACGUUUCAUUGUUGGAAACAAUUUAAAAGUAAAUGUAUACCUCCAUUUACUUCUGAAUUUAUUCUAAUUUUGUAUUUGUAUGUGUGUGUGUGAGAGAGAGAGAGGAGACCGGGCAGGUUAGAGAUGUUUUUUGCCCGACAUUUAUUAUAGACUCAGUCUGCUGAAGUUAUGACCAGGGAACCUCCCGAAUUUAAGUUCUUUGGUGGUGGAAGCUCCUUAAUACAUGGAUUUCCAAAUAAACUUAGGCCCUGUUUGGAUGCAUAGUUAAAAAACUCCAUGAAAUUUUUAUUCUAUGAUUUUAGUCUAAAUGAAAUACGGAAUCCUAUAACUACAAAAAAAUUUCACAACUCUAUUUUUAAGCUGUUUGGAUACAUAUCAUACAAUUCCACAGAAUUUAUAACUAUUAAAUUUCUAAAAUUUUAAAAUUUAAAAUUCAAAAUUCAAAAUUCAAAAUUCAAAAUUUAAAAAUAAAAUUUUAAAAAUUAAAAUUCAAAAUUCAAAAUAUAAAAAUAAAAUUUAAAAUUUAAAAUUUAAAAAUUAAAUUAGAUUUUCUGUUUUAAAUUUGAAAUUUAAAAUUUGGAAUUUGAAAUUUAAAAUUUGAAAUUUGAAACUUUAAAUAAUAAAAUGUAAAGUAUACCAUUUAAACUUUAAAUUUUGAAAUUUAAAAAAUCUAUAAUUAAAAUUUUAAAUUUUAAAUUUAAUAAUUUAUAAAUUUAAAAUUUAAAUUUAAGUUUAAAUAAAUUUAUUGAAUAAAAAAAUUAAAAAUUAAAAUUAAAUUAAAUUUGAAAUUUGAAAUUUGAAAUUUGAACUUUUUGAAAAUUGAAAUUUGAAAUUUGAAAUUGAAAUUUGAACUUUUUGAAAUUUGAAAUUUGAAAUUUUUGAAAUUUGAAAUUUGAAAUUUAAAGUUUUUGAAUUUGAAAUUUGAAAUUUGAAAGUUGAAUUGAAAUUUGAAAUUUGAAAUUUGAAAUUUGAAAUUUGAACUUUUUGAAAUUUGAAAUUUGAAAUUUGAAAAUUUGAAAUUUGGAACUUUUUGAAAUUUGAAAAUUUGAAAAUUUUGAAAUUUGAAAUUUGAAAUUUUUGAAAUUUGAAAAUUGGGAAAUUUGAAAGUUGAAGUUUGAAAUUUGAACUUUUGAAAUUUGAAUGUAAAAUUUGAAAUUUGAAAUUUGAAAUUUGAAAUCAAAAUUAAAAAUGAAUUUUAAAAUUUUAAAAUUUGAAAUUUAAAAUUUUAUGUUGAAAUUUAAAAUUUAGAAAUUGAUACAUCUUCGGGAGCCCAAAAUGGUGGAAUUUUUUUUCCCUUGGUUAAAGUGGAUUGUAAGUUACUCUUUUUUUUAGAGUAUAGUAUAACUAUACUUCAAAAAUUACGUCAUUUUUUUUUUCUUCCAAACGCUUCAUAGGAUUAUUUUUCUAUCGGCGUAGCAUAGUUUAACUAUGCUACGUUUUUAGAGGUAUCCAAAUGGGGCCUUAAGGGUUUAUUUUUGCUCAUGUAUUUUAUACAAUAAGAUCGAAAUAAUAUUUAUUGAUUCUGAUUGUUGUUGUUUAUUUUAAAGAAAUCAAAAUAAUAUUCAAUGAUUCCCAUUGCAUUCUGAAAUGAAGAUGACCAAAUUUAUUUGUGAUCCAAUUCGAUUUUGAAUUCCGGAUUGAACCAUUCCAAAGUAUAUAUCACUCAAAACCUUCUCUCGGAAACUCCUGGAUCCCCUACCUCCCCCUUCAUCACUCUUUUUUCUCUUAACCAAAAUUCUAUCAAACUCUAGAUAUUUAUUCCGAUUUUCAUUCCGAUAAUAAAUCAAAUAUUUUUGGAUGAUUCGUCAUUCUAUGUUUCAUUUUAAUGCAAUUCAAUUUAUUUUCUAUUUCCAUUUCAAUCAUGAACCAAACAUGUCUGGUAAAUUGCACCACUAGUCCCAAAACUUUUUGCUAAAUUUUAUGGCACGUUUGGUUUGGUUCAAAAUAGAAAUCGGAAUAAGAUUGGGAAUGGAUCGGAAUUGAAAAUAGAAUGAUUAAAACAACAAUUUGUUUGGCUUAUAAAAGGAAUCAAAAUCGGAAUUAUAUUCAAAUUAAUUUUUUUUAUUAAAUUAAAAUUUGUUAUUCAAAUUUUUAAUCAAAAUUUGAAUCCAAAUUUAAAAUUAAAAUUUGAAUGUACAAUUUAAGUUCAACGUCAAAGUCAAAUUUCAAUUUAGAACUAUUAAAUUAAAAUUUUUAAAAUUAAAAAUUUAAAUUUAAAUUUAAAUUUUAAAUUUAAAUUUAAAAUUAUAAUUUGAUUUAAUGAAUUUAUAUUUAGACUUAUAUUUGAAUUCAAAUAAUUAUUAGUAGAAAAGAAAAUUUUCUCAAUCACUUUGGAAUUAAUCAAAGUUGACUCUCACCUCUAUGGUCGGAGUCAUUUUUGAGGGAUUCGAAUUCUCCAAAAUGAGAAACGGAAUGCUAAUCCUUCAACCCAUAUACUUUUUUUGAGAGAUAGGUAGCAUAUUAUUCGCUUCGUUUUAUUUCAUUUAAAAAUAAACUUAGCUGGAAAUGUGAAUCAACUAGCUAGAAUUCGAACUUGGGUCUCGGAUACCAACCACCAAGCCAUUUGCCACUUGCUCUAGGAACGAUCAGUCUUCAACCCAAAUACUAAUAAUAAAAAUAAUUUAUUUCGAUUCCAUUCUAAAUCUCAAAUGCUUUAAAUCAAACACGCCCUUACAUCACUUCUCAAACUUUGAAAUUCGGCAUCAGUGGCCGAAAAAUGUUAAAGAGUUUUAUUUUGGUCCUUUUAUAUAUUUACAAUUAUAGUUUAUUGCGCUACACUGAUCAGUGCAGCUAUGGGUCAAAGUUAUCUUUUUCAUUGUGUAUAUAUAUAUUUUGUUCCUACUAUUGUUGAGUUACAAUUUUUUGCUUUAUAUGAAAGUUUGACAUCUGAAUUAAAAGCGCGAGAUGAAUAAAAUAAUGAUAAAUUUAAAAAGUACAAAUAAAUAGAUGAAAUAGGUGCAACCAAUAAUUACUGAUCUAGGUUAACGCCUAAGAUGAAACAGUUCUAUUGCUGUUGUUGGGAAUUUGGUACUCGCCCCGGUACCGGAUCUCGUGAAUCCGCAACCCGCUCCGAUACCGACUGCUGUGGAUCCAGUAUUGAUUGUUGGAAUUCCGCAACGGAAACGUCAAAUCGGAUUUUUAUCAUAAAUCCGUCUUCUCAGUAAAAACUGAUACAAUCAUAAAAGAGAAAAAUAUGCAGGUAAAAUAAGAUUCAUUAAAUAAGAGAAGAUUACACCUGACUCCUCUUCUACACAGAGUAGCUACAAUUCGAGCCCUCUUUCUUGAAUCUCUUCUACCCUUCUCUCGUCUUCUAUAAACCCACAAAGAAGACAUCUCCGCGUGCACCCGUGCACAAGGUGCACUAAAAUAACUCUCUCACUCUCUCGUUUUCUUUCUCUAGUACGACACCCCAAUGGUUCCAGCCUUACUACACCCAAAAAAGAGAGCCACAAUGCCUAUUUAUAGUGCUCAACUUAAAACGUACCCCAAUCCUAAUAUAUUUAGGAUUCAUGCUUUAAUUAAUAUCUAAAUCUAUCUUAAUCAAUCUCUAAUAGAUUUAAAUAUUAAUCCUAAUCUAGUUAUGUUUAUCCUCUAAUUAAUAUUUAAAUCUUAAUUUAUUUCAAACAGAUUUAAAUAUUAAUUCUUAUCCAAAUAGGAUUUAACUACAAAUCUAACCAAAUCCUAACAUUCUCCACCUUGGUUUGAUUUGUAAUUUUCAACCGCUACGUCGAGCUCACCAUGCAAGCUCCACCUUGAGCAUGUCUCCUCCGCUCGAUGUCGCCGCAUCUGUUGCUCCGUCUUGAGCAACUGCACAUCCGCGAACUUUUGGAACCCAAACCGUCUUCGCUCCCGUUCUGGCUGUGCUCCCAUUCAGAACGUAUAAGUUCCCACGCUUGUUCGCCUCGAAUACUACCCGAUCUCGUUUUCGGACCCUCAUAGCUUUACCUGAAGCUGAAAUAUCGCAACCAUUCGAGUCCAAUGCGCCUAACGAGAUCAAAUUCCGUUUCAAUCCAGGAACGUGCCGCACACCUGUCAGCGUCCUCACUACCCCAUCGUGUAUUCGGAUUUUCACCAUGCAGACUCCCAAUACUUUGCACGCUGUCCCGUUCCCUAUCAGCGCCUUUCCACCUUUGGUCGCCUUAUAAGUGGCAAAAGACUUCUUCUCCGGGCAUACAUGAAAAGAACACGCCGAAUCGAGCACCCACACAUCGUCCGAAAUUUUCGCACCUCCGGUCGCCGCAUACAAUACAUCAGAAUCGAUCAUCUCCGACUCUGCUGUCUGCGCCGUCGCUGAAACCGUCUCAUCCUGGUUCAUGACAGUUUGCUCCUUCUGUCGCUUUAACUCCUUCAGAUCAUUCUGAAGUUUUCGACAAUUGCGCUUGAGAUGCCCCUUCCUGUGACAGUAAAAGUAUUCUACCUCAGAUAUCGGUUUCUUCUGUCGAUAUCCGGUCGCCGAUAUUCUCGCCUCCUUCUUCGCGGUCACCACCAGUCCAACAUCCUGACUUUGCGUGCCGGACUCCUGAGUCAUCUUCCGCAUCUCGUUCGAGAGAAGCGCCGCCGUGACCGCCUCCACGCUUAUGGACUCCUUGCCAGUCACCAGAUGCUCAUAUGUCGUCGGUAGCGAAGAUAGUAGGAUCAACGCCUCGUCUUCGUCAUCCAGAUUGACUCCGAUGCUGGUCAACUGGGCCACCACCUUGUUGAACUCAUUUAGAUGAUCAUGUAGGCUCGCCGCUUCUUGCAUCCGCAACGUAAACAGUCGCUGCUUCAGAUACAAUCUGUUCGUUAGGGAUUUGGUCAUGUACAGAUCUUCCAAUUUCUUCCACAAUUUCGCCGGUGUCGUCUUGCCGGCUACAUUGUAAAGAACCUCAUCUGCUAAUGAUAGAUGAAGCGUACUCAGCGCCUUCCGCUCCAUCUUCGUCCAUGCCGCAUCCGUGACGUCCGCCGGCUUUGCCUCCUUCCCGUUCAACGUCUCGUCUAACUCUUGCUGUACGAGGAUUGCUCGUGCUUUAAUUUGCCAUAAUCCGAAAUUGUUCUUGUCGUCGAACUUCUCGAUUUCGAAUUUCGUGGCCAUCUCCGUCGAUCUCUCCCGCAGAUCGGUAACCUUCGGCUCUGAUACCACUUGUUGGGAAUCCGGUACUCGCCCCGGUACCGGAUCUCGUGAAUCCGCAACCCGCUCCGAUACCGACUGCUGUGGAUUCAGUAUCGAUUGUUGGGAUUCCGCAACAGAAACUUCAAAUCUGGUUUUUAUCAUAAAUCCGUCUCCUCAGCAAAAACUGAUACAAUCAUAAAAGAGAAAAAUAUGCAGGUAAAAUAAGAUUCAUUAAAUAAGAGAAGAUUACACCUGACUCCUCUUCUACACAGAGUAGCUACAAUCCGAGCCCUCUUUCUUGAAUCUCUUCUAUCCUCAUCUCGUCUUCUAUAAACCCACAAAAAAGACCUCUCCGCGUGCACCCGUGCACAAGGUGCACUAAAAUAACUCUCUCUCUCUUUUUCUCUCUCUGGUACGACACCGCAAUGGUUCCAGCCGUACUACACCCAAAAAAGAUAGCCACAAUGCCUAUUUAUAAUGCUCAACUUAAAACGUACCCCAAUUCUAAUAUAUUUAGGAUUCAUGCUUUAAUUAAUAUCUAAAUCUAUCUUAAUCAAUCUCUAAUAGAUUUAAAUAUUAAUUAUAAUCUAGUUAGGUUUAUCCUCUAAUUAAUAUUUAAAUCUUAAUUUAUUUCAAACAGAUUUAAAUAUUAAUUCUUAUCUAAAUAGGAUUUAACUAUAAAUCUAACCAAAUCUAACAGCUGUAUCAAGACAAAUUAAAUGUCCUUCCUUGCUUGAUUUGUCGCAAACAAGCAAGCAGUACACUGCAUACAGUUGGCACAAACCGUCGGUUCGUGCCAACGGCGCUGGUGGAGUCGCGUUGCGACUCACGGGCGAGAAGGGCUGCUAGCUAGAACACACAAACAUCUGCCCAUUCAUGAGGUGAAAGCGGAUCGAGGUGCCACUGGACAAGGCGAGGGAGAGGGAGAGGGAGAGGGAGAGAGAGAUGGGAACUAUAUACUGAUGUCGGACUCAUUCCUCCCACUUAAUUAAUGGAAGCUAGGGCUCCGCCUGGAUAAGAAUACUGUAUGCCUGUAGAUGUUACUACCACGCAGUUGGAUAGCUUGCAGCUGUUUUGGUGCAUGCGCCUGUAGUUAAAAUUAGGAAUAAUUUUAUAGAUGUUCUUCUAGCGACCAUCAAUUUUAUCAAUAUCUUUUUAAAAUUUAUAAUAUUGUGAAUGCCCUUCAAUAUGUCAAAAAUUAUUAUAAAUUAAUAUCCUCCACUAGUUAAGAUCCGAUAAGGUCCAUCUAAAAUGGAGUUAAAUUUUAAAAAUAUCAUUUUUACCAUUUAUCUCUUAUCAAUAGUAAAAAUAACUAUUUAAUAUAUUAAAUAUUAAAUUAAAUUAUUAAUAUAUAUUAAUUAUUAAAAAUAUACAAAAUUGUAUUUUAUAUAUAGUAUGAUUUUAUAUGAUUUUGAUUUUGUUUUUGGUUUCGUAUUUCGAUUCAGAUUCGAUUUGGAUAUAGACUAAAAUUAUAACUGAAUUUGAAUAUAAUGGAAUUUUAUUUCUUAACCUAUAACUGAAACUACUCUUACUCAGCAUCGAUUAAGUUCACUCCAUUCAAAAUCGAGUUCAGAUAAAAUUGUGUACCUCAAUUCAAAUUUCUAAUCAGUAAUAGUAAUUUUAAAAUAAAUGAUAGAUUUAAUUUUUUUUCCUAUUUAAUCAACGUUUUUUUGGCGAUUGAGAAAAAAGGGAGUUUUUUUUAAAAGCUAAAAUAUAUUAUAUUUUAGUUUUUUAAUGCAUUUAGGGGUUGUUUGGUUGUAUAUAGUUACAACUGUACUGUAGUUGUAACUACAUGCAAAUGCAAAUUCGCGUUUGGUUUGAUUUAUUUAACUCCAACUGUUGCAGCAGGAAUUACAAGAGGUUCAACUGCAGCAGUUAGAAUUACACCUAAAUUGACCGCAGUUUCAAAUGUAGCAGAUGGAGAGAGUAACUUUAAACAAAUGAUAAACUUACCUCCUUAAUUAUUUUGUAACUAAAAAAUAAUUUUUUUUUACUUUGAGGGUAAUCUCAUCAUCAUAUAUAUAUAUAUAAUGAUAAAAUUUUAAAAAUUAUUUCUCAACUGCAUUCAACCAAAUAAAUUAUUUAUAGUUGUAGCGCUUUCUAUUACAUCCAAUCAAACAGAAUGUAUGUAGUUGCAAGUUGCAACUGCUGCAUUUCCAACUGCAUGUAUUUUCAACUAUACUGCAUUUUUAAUUACAUCUAACCAAACAGCCCCUUAAUGCAAAUAAAAUUAUUGAGAAUAAUUUUGGUUAAAAUUUUUUUAAGUUUCCAAAAUUAACGAAAGAUCGAAAAAAUCCUCAAGUUUUAUUUUUAUUUAAAUUUUUAUACAUGGUUAUUUAUUUGCUAAAAAAUAAAUAGAGUCACUAGAUUUGGUAAAAUCAUCAAAAAAAAAAAUGAUAAAAUUCUCUUUUUUCAUACACUAAAAUUGGUUAAUUUUACGUGAUAUUCUAACUUGAGAAAACUUCAAAUACCCCUGUAGUUUCGUACUUUCCCAUUUUAGUACGUUAUGGUUUAAAGUGUAUCAAAUUAGUACCCUUUGGUUUUGUACUUUCUCACUUUAGUAUUAUGUGGUUUAAAGUGUAUCAAGUUAGAACCCUGCUGUUUCGUACUUUUUUACUUUAGUACGUUAUGGUUUAAUAUUUCAUUAAAUUAUAUAUAAAAAAAUUUCAGAUACUCUAUCUAGGUUAAUUUAUUGAAAAUUUAUUUUAGUAUCCUUUAGUUUUAACUUUGGCACUGAGUUAAUAAAAAAAAAACACCCUGAAAUGGAUAAUAAAAAAAAAAAAAUAAAACAAUAGGGUACUAACUUGAUACAAAAAUGAAACUACGGAGUACGAACUUGAUACGCUUUAAACCAUAUGGUAUUAAAGUGAGAAAGUAAGAAACCACAUGGUACUAAUUUAUACGCUUUAAACUAUAGGAUACUAAAGUGAGAAAGUACAAAACCAUGAAAAGAUAUUUGAAAUUUUUUCUUUUAAAUUUUAUAGGAGUAUAUAUGAUAUUUUAUACUUGGUUAGAAGUAUUUAUAAAAUUGCCCUUUAAAAUUAUAUUAGGUUAUUGCUGCAUAUGACGUGGGUAUCUCCACUGCGAUUCCAAAAAUAAUUGUGAUAGAAAAAAAAUUUAUUAUAUUUGAGAUGAUAGUAAUAUAUAUUAGAUGAUUAGAACGCGAAGGUUAUUGUCUCUUUGCGAAACGGAUCGUUAAUAAAAGAAUAAUUAAUUUCUGAAGCAACGACAACAGUGAUUGGAUGGAUAGAGGGGUUUUUUAAAGUUUUUCCUUCUUUUAUUGGCUAAUUGUUACAGCGUGACAAAAAAAAACAAGAAGAGAGUAACUGAUCAAAGCUGAGAUUGCCCCACGCGUCAUUCCUGCAUCAACUUAAUUUCUCAUCAGUGGUGGGCACGGUUUCCUGUAAACAUCUCGUGACGUUUUAAAUCUCAAUCACCGUAGCUUUUGUUCAUUUAAACCACAUGUAAUCGGGUGCGAAAAUUACCACCAUCACCGUCAUCAUCAUUAUUAAGCUCCGCCUAUAAUUGAGAAGUUUCUUGGCGAAUUCCAAUCUAGUAUUCCACGGGUGCUGCUAACCUAAAGACACUUGUUUGAUUUGAAAAUGAAAUAUGAAAAUCGACCGUUUCUAGAGCAAGUGACUAAGGAUUUGAUAGUUGGUACCUGAGGUCCCAAAUUUAAAUUCUAAUUGAUUCACAUUUUCAGUUAAGUUUAUAAAUUCUAAAUAAAAUAAAUGAAACGGAUAACGUGCUACCUAUCUCUCAAAAAUAAUAAUAAUAAUAAUAAAAGAAAGAAAAAGAAUAAGAGCCUUUUUCGAAUUAUUCUAAAAUAAUUUGUAUAAAGGAUAGAAUUAUUAUUCCACUCUUUUUUAGAACAAUAAUCUAUUUUAUUCGUAACUCUACUAAUUUAAUAAUAAAGUACUAAUAAUUAAUAUAUUAUAUAUUAUUUUAUUAAUUAAUUAGUUAGAUAAAUAAUUAAUCACUUGAUUUAUUACAAUAAUAAAUCUGUAAUUAACUAUUUGAACAAUUAAUUUAUUAUUUAUAAUUAAUUAGCUAAUAAAAAAAUUAUUAUUUAGUGUGUUUACAUUGAUUAACUAAUUAAUUAAUUAAUAUUUAUAUUGAUUAACCAAAUAAUAUUUUGACCAAUAUAACUAAUUAAAUAACUAAAUAAUUUGUUUAUUAAUUUAUUAACUUAAUUUGUUAGUUUAUAAAAUUAUUUAUAGUUAGUUAAUUUAUUAAUUAACAGUACUCAUUGUGAUAUACUGGAUCUUAGCAAAUAGGCAAAUUUACGGUAUGAAUUUUUAGUCAGCAAUUUUCUAUAGUGCUUGACUGAGUUAGAGACAUUUUGAUGCGAAAUAAAUGCAAAAAUGAACUCAGAAACUCAAAAUUUAACAUGUGGAAACAAAAAUUGAAAUACUUGAAAGGUGAGGGACCUUUUGGUAAUUGUGCAAUUUUAGUGGAGUCCACCUCAGCAUGCUUAUCCAUUUAUGUGUUGGGAAAACCGCAACGAAAAAUUCGAUUGCAAUUAAAAUCUAACUAAUUUGUGAUAAAUAUGAAAUCAAAUUUAUAGAUAAACGUAAAUAUUCUAAUAAAGAUUUUAUCUUAUUCGGAAGCGUGCGAGGCACUACCCUAAGAUGUAUUCCCGUCCUUACGUGUGGGAUUAAUUGGGAACAACACCCUAAGGUACGACCGAAAUUCCUCCUCCUGCGAGUACGAUCGUGAAGGAGAUUGACGGAGAUUCUUUCAACACCCAGUGGAUAAAGAAAAAUUCAAAAAUAAAAGAUGAAAGAAUAAAAUGGAUAAGAAUUAAUCAAUUAUCUAAUAUCUUUUCUACCUAUUCUGUCUUAACAAAGAAGAAAAAGAAAUGGUAUAAAAAGAAAGAGAAUUUCACGCUCUUUCUCGUAACGAGAAAGAGCAGAAUCCGCGCAACGGAACGAAAUUUUGUUUGGCGAAAAAAACGGAACGGAAAAAAAUAUCCCAUUGGUUUCUUUCUCACUAAGAAAAAAAAUAAAAUUAGUAAAUAAAUAAAUAAUAAAAAUAAUAAAUAACAAUAAAUAAUAAAUAAAUAAUUCAAAAUUCAAAUAGAAUAAAAUUUAAAUUUUAAAUUUUUGAGUUUUUUUUACCAACAAUCCCCCACAAAACUCAAAAUUUUAAAAUACAAAUAAAAGUAAAAAAGAAUUACUAGGUGCUUAUACUAUACAAUGGGUGAUCGAGAUGUUUUUAAGAGACUUAAUCUCUCUUAGUGUAAGCAGUUUUUAUUAGAAGGAAUCGGAGUGAAUCAAGUCUUGAAUUACGUUCCAAGUCUUGAACUACGUUUCUUUGACCCUUACUUCAACCACUACACACAUAGUACAGAAUUUUCCGUUACGAGUCUAUGAGUUAAUGGUCAUGCGCAGUAUCUUGAUUUUUCAUAAAAGUUUCUAUAGAUAGCCUACAUCACAUAGCCGCGGCCACAUACGGAUACUCUUAUAUAGAUGGUUUCCUUCAGGGAUGUGUGUAGAGUUACAUAUCGCGAAUAUUACUGCCUUGAAUCCCAUUAAAAGCUAUCAGCUCAAUCUAAUCAAUUACACAGAGCACUACUCAUCAUAGGGAUAGGAUCGGAGCUAAAGCUGAUAGCUUGGCCAACCUGACAGCUUGCUUUUAUCACAUUGAACAUUUUUCAAAUAAUCUCCUAUCACAAAGCUUGAGUUCCUACUGCAGGAAGGCCCAUUAUGGGCAAAGCCCCAUCUCCCUCGAUGAUAUCAGCAACUUAGUCCAGUUCGGACCUUUCAUCAUAUAAUCUGUAAAAUUUUAUUCACAUCUGAUACAAUUUAAAACAAUAACAUUAUGAGAAAUUAGUCAUAUGAUAAUCUUAUAUUUCAACUUUAUAUGCAUGACAGUUAGUCUUAAAAUUUAUCAUUUUGGUUUAAAAAUCGAACACUAGAAUUAAAAUAAGUGAAAAUAAGAGAACCGUCAUGCAUAUAAAGUUGAAAUAUAAGAUUAUCAUAUGACUAAUUUCUCAUAAUGUUAUUGUUUUAAAUUGUAUCAGAUGUGAAUAAAAUUUUACAGAUUAUAUGAUGAAAGGUCCGAACUGGACUAAGUUGCUGAUAUCAUCGAGGGAGAUGGGGCUUUGCCCAUAAUGGGCCUUCCUGCAGUAGGNAUAUUUAAUUUUAAAUAGAUAUUUUAGAGCAAAAUAUUAAUGCAAUUAAUCAACCAAUAUAUGCACUGCAAUCAAAAAUAUAAAAAUUAUUAAAAUAAUUGCUUAAUAAAGGCAAAAUUUAGUUACUUGGCUAAAUCAGUAAAAUGCGGCUGAUGACAACAAAUAUAUAUAAGUUUCACAAGUUUCAGAAAAAUCAAAUGCACGCCCUUUAUUUUAAGGGUAGUUUUUUCUCUCUUUUUUUUUUUUGUUUGGAAAAGCUACAGUAAAAUACUAAUUUUUUUUUAAAAAAAUUUAUAAUAAAAUUAAAUCAAUUUAAUUAUGACAGAAAGGUUUUUUUUUAAAAAAAAUAAUAAAAUGCUUUUUUUUGGUGGAAAAACCCUAAAUUUGAAAGUGUUUUUACUACAGUAAGAAUUCUGUAGCUAAAGAAAGAAAAUGGCAUCUGUUGGGAUUCAAACCCCUAAGCCAGCAUGAACUUUACAGAGGCUCACUAACCUACAACACCAGUUUGGCUACAUCAAACAAUAAUUUACAAACUAAACUAAUAUCCACUAUAUAAUUACAGAAAAAUCGUAUAAAGUAAGUAAAGAAAAUCGGCUCUUCAUUGAAAUCUGAUGAAACUGAUGAAAUCAAAGCACUCCAUUUUGAUAGGCUGAUAAGAGUUUGCAUCUAAGAUGACCACCAGGAUCAAGGACCUAAUCACGAUGAUGUUUGGUAGCAAUAAUUUUUGUCAAAAUCAGUCACCAUAUUAAGCCAUUGAACCCACAAUAUGUGCACUAGCAGCAUAAAAUUACAACGUUUUCAGCUGCUUCACCAUAUGUUGAUAUUUAACUAAACAGAUAUUUUAAAUAUAUAUGCCCUUUUAUUUAUUUAUUUAUUUUACAAGAAACAUUAAGCCCUUUUUUUUGAAAAAAAAGGGUAAUAAUUUUGAUUAGAAAGAAAAAGUGGAAGCUUUGGGAUAUAAUCUCAAAAAAGGGUAAAAUAAUUUCUCUUUUCCUUCUUUUUUUUUUUUUGGGAAAAAGUACGGUAAUAAUUUUUUUUUUUAAGCAAAAGAAAUUUUAUAGUAGCAAAAAGUAUAUUUUGUUUAUGGUAAUGAAACCCUUUUGUUUAAAAAAUAUUGUACACUACAAACUCAUGAAGAUAGAAAAUAAAAAUUAAAUGCAAUUUAAAUUUUUUUUAAAAUGCUACUCCCNUGCUAAUCCCAAUUUGUUUAACUUUGAAUGACCAACAUACAGACAAGUUGUCAAAUAAACCUAUAUGGAAUAUCCAUUUAUUUUUUUUUUAAGGAUUAGCCUCUGUUAGAUUUAAUCACAAUCAGAUUAGCAAUACGCUUUAGAUUGUUGGGGAAAACUGCAACGAAAAAUUCGAUUGUGAUUAUCUAACUAAUUCGUGAUAAAGAUAAAAUCAAACUUACAGAUAAACCCAAAUAAUCCAAUAAAGAUUUGAUCUUAUCCGGAAGCGUGCGAACGUAUUCCCGUCCUUACGUGUAGGGGUGGAAACGAGCCGAGCUCGAGCGAGCUUACCUCAGCUCAAGCUUGGCUUGAAAUGAAUUUCGAGCCUAAAUUUAGGCUCAAGCUUAGCUUGAAAUUAAUUCGAGCCGAGCUUGAGCGCGCCUAAUUUCGAGUCGAGCGAGCUCGAGCCCUAAACGAGCUGCUUGAAAUUCUUAAUAUCAUGCAAUCUAUACUUUAAUUUUUAUAAAAUAUUAUCUAAAAUUUGAUAUUAAAAAUAUCUAAUUGUUUAACAUAUAAAAUAAAUGCAUGAAAUACGAUAUUAUAAUACUAAAAAGAUUAGGAAAAGCGAUUCUGCGAGGAAGUGAAAAAGAGAGAAAGAGAGCAAUUAUAGUAGAAUUUUGCUGGUUUGAUUUUGUGGGCCCAAUAAUCUAAAUUCUAUUUACAUAUAAUUAAAAUAGAUAAUAUAUAUUAUUUUAUAUAAUUAAAAUAUAUAUUAUACAUAAUUAUAUAUAUAGAGAGAGAGUUUGGCUACUAUAUAUAUUUUUAUGAAUAUAAACCCCUUUAUACUCAUAAGUUUUCGACCGUUAGAUCUAUUCUUUUGAUCAUUUUCAUCUGUUAAAUCAUACUAUUCAACGAACCACCCACUCAAUCUUAGGGGACCACUAUCAUUCUAAUCGCACAUCCAACGGCUGAAAAUUUAUAAGUAUAAAGGGGUUUAUACUUAUAAGAAUAUAGUAGCCCAAGCAUAUAUAUGUAGAAUUAGGCUACUAUACUAUUAAUAGCACAAACCGCUUGCUAUUAGGUUUUCGGCCCUUGGAUGAAAGGAUGUGUGGUUAGGAUGAUAGUAGCUCCCUAGGGUUGAGUGAGUGGCUAGUUGUAUAUUAUAAUCUAACGGAUGAAAAUGACUAAAGGGAUAGAUUUAACAGCAGAAAACUCGAUAGCACCAAAUGCUUAGUACUAUCGAUAGUAUAAUAGCCGGACUCUAUAUAUAUAUAUAUAUAUAGGCAGAUCUAACGGCAAAAUACUCAAUAGUACAAAGCGUUUAGUACUAUAGAUAGUAUAGAUAGUAUAGUAGCCGGACUAUAUAUAUCGAGAGAGAGAGAGACAAAGAGCCCGACUACUAUAUUAUCGAUAGUAUUAAAUGCUUUGUACUAUCGAAUUUUGUGCCGUUAGAUCAUAUUAUUCAACUAACCACUUACUCAAUCCUAGAGGAUCACUGUCAUUCUAACUGCACAUUCCUUCAUCCAAAGGUUGAAAACCUAAUAGCAAGUGGUUGGUACUAUUAAUAGUAUAGUAGACUAUAUAUAUAUUUCGAGCUUUUCGAGUUUAAUUCGAGCAAGCAGAGUAAUACUCAAGCUCGGCUUGAAAUUAAUUUCGAGCUGAAAUUUAGGCUCAAGCUUCGUUGAAAUUAAUUCGAACCGAGCUCGAGCGAGCCAAAUAUCGAGCCAAACACGAGUCGAACACGAGCUGGCUUGCUCAUUUGCCAGCCCUACUUACGUGCGGGAUUAACCUGGAACAACACCCCAAGAUACGACCGGAACUCCUCCUAAAAAAUUUAUAAUAUAAAAUUUAAAUUUAAAAAAGUAAAUUUAUUUAUUAUAUACUAUUGGAAAAUAUCUAUCUUAUUUUAACUCAAAUUUAAAUAGUUGUUGCCAACAAUAAUUAUAUAGUUUUUUUUAUUUUAUAAAAUUUAUAUAUAGUGUAGAUAUAGAGAUACAUCAAAUAUUUUUCUAUAUUUUUAAGAAAAAACUUUAAAUACCACCUUUGUGAUUUCACACUUUCUCACUUUAGUACCCUGUGGUUUAAAGUGUAUCAAUUUAGUACCUUGUGGUUUCAUUUUAUCAUUUUAUUAUCGAUUCCACUAAUAUUUUUCGUUAAAUCGGUAAAAAAGUUAAAAUUAAAGGGUACUAAAGUGAAUAUUCAAUAAAUCUAGAUAGGUUAUCUGAAGUUUUUUUUGUAUAUAAUUUAACGAAAUAUUAACAAAAAAACUGACGAAAAGAUAAAAAUGAAACCACAUAACACUAAUUUAAUACACUUUAAACCACAGGGUACUAAAAUGAGAAAGUGCAAAACCACAUGAGUGAUAUUUGAAGUUUACCCUACUUUUAAAUUCAAAAUAUAAAUAUAUAUUUUAAAAUAAAAGUAUCAAAAUUAAAAAGUUAAUAUAAUAAUAAAAUAUUAGUAGAUAGAAUAGAUAUAAUAUAUAAAUAUUUAUCUUAAAAAAAAGAUAUUGAAUAAUAAAAAUUAUUUAAUAAAAAAAUAAAGCAUUAAUAGUUCAAGAAAAAAAGAGGACUAUCAUUAUGCUAUUUAUUUUACGUAAGAAAAAAGAGAAAUUUUGAAAUGGGUCCGUCGAUAGACUAAAAUUUGCAAUACGUACUUGGUGCUAUCAAGCACUUGUCGACAGACUAUUGAUCGCACCAAGCACUUGUGCUAUCAAGUUUUCACCCGUUAGAUUAUACUAUUUAACCAACAACUCACUCAAUCCUAGGGGGCCCACAUUAUUCUAACGGUAUAUUUUUCUAUCCUAGGGCCGAAAAUUUAAUAGUACCAACAACUAAUUAGUGUAUAGUAUUUCAGCCUAGUUAUAUAUAUAUAUAUAUAGAGAGAGAGAGAGAGAGAGAGUUUAACUGUGAUACUAUUAGUAGCAAAAUCCCAUUGUUGCUACCAGUUUUUUAAUCUUUGGAUCAACUCUUUUCAUUAUUUCUAACAAUUGGAUUAAAUACUAUAACCCAGUGGGGACCACUCAACCCUAGGGGGACCACUCAACUCUAACAGACUAAUAUCAUCUUUACCCUACAAUUUUUCAUCCAAGGAUUAAAAACUUGAUAAUAAAAAGAGCGUUUUACUAUUAAUAGUAUUCUAGCCUAAUUCUAUAUAUAUAUAUAUAUAUAUAUAUAUAUAUAGAGUUGAGCUAGAAUACUAUCGAUAGCAAACGGGCUCCGUUGCCACCCAUUUGUUUUCGAUGAUAGAGCCUCCAAAUCGACGAUCGNGAAGUUCAAAUAGUAUAAAUUAUAGGUAUCAAACGUUUCAUUGUUACCGACCGUCCCUAGAGCAAGUGGCAAAGGGCUUGGUGGUUGGUACUCAAGACCCAAGUUCGAAUCAUAGUUGAUUCACAUUUCCAGCUAAGUCUAUUUCUAAAUAAAAUAAACGAAACGGGUAGCGUGCUACCUAUUUCUCAAAAAAAAAACGUUUCAUUGUUGGAAACAAUUUAAAAGUAAAUAUAUACCUCCAUUUACUUCUGAAUUUAUUCUAAUUUUGUAUUUGUAUGUGUGUGUGUGUGUGUGUGUGUGUGUGUGUGUGAGAGAGAGAGAGAGAGAGAGAGAGAGAGACCGGUGUCACGGCCUUAGCGGUUCUGUUCGCAAAGCCCGUGCGGCGCCCGCCUUCCUGCUCGAAGAUGGGCAAGCCUUCGUCCCUAUUGCUAGUUCGGACCUUCGCGUCCUACGAUUAAGUAUGCAAAGGAAAAUGACAAAGAGAGGAGGUAGAGGUUCACUCAAAAACUAAGUACUCCACUACUUAGAAAAGAGAUUACAAUACACAUACACACACACUCCCUCUUGUGUGUUUUGACCUUAACCAAAACCCCACUAUUUAUAAGCUCCUAAAUACAAUGAACUUAGACACACACUAACUCUUUCAUUAUGAGACACAUUAACUCACCUUCAUAAUGAACCAUAAGCUCAAAAGUCACCCCAUAACUCAUCCACUAUUGCAUACAUAAUGAGCCCUCAUAAUAGCCAAAAGCUCAAGAGUCACCCAUAACUCCCAUGAGUUUCAUAACCCUUGAGUUUCCCACAGCUGGUUGGGUUUGGGUCUCCUUGACAACCCGAUUCAACCUGUUUUGAACCUGUUUCGCUAGCAGAUUUGGGCCACUGUCAAGGAGAAGUUAGCGGGAAAAAUUUUGCCCUUGACAUUCUCCCCCACCUAACGCGCAGACGCCCUCGUCGCGCGCCGAGUCGCUGCCAGUCCGCAUAGCCUUCUCAUCGCUUGGUUGUCCACGAACUGCGUUGACGAGAUUUAGCGUGCCCAUCCUUGGCAGCUCGACCACGUCCUUGCCCUCCUCGGCUUGGACCGCAGCAACCUAUUUACCUUUGUAGUUGCUCCUGUUUGGGCAGUCCCGCGCCCAAUGAUUCUCGCCGCAAACAUAGCACGAGAUCGUUGCAGGCGGCGGGGCGGGAUUCUGCUAUUGCUUCCUCGCAUCACGGUUUGGCUUGUGCCCUUUUGCGCCCCCUGGAUCGUGGUACUCUCCCCCACCUCUGGCCUCGCUCGCCUUUGGUAGUUCAUCUCGAUCGCCCUCGGUUCGCUCCCGCUCGGGCAACUUCUCCGCCAAAGCAAUCGUGGAGUUCAGGUCCUUCACGUCUCGCGCCACGAGCUCCUUGUUCGCCCAUGGCUGAAGGCCAUCUAGGAAGAAGAAUAGCCGAUCCUCAUCGGCCAUGUUGGUGAUCGCCAAUAUCAGUUUCGAGUACUCUUGGACAUACUCUUUCAAGGUUCUCGAAUGUUUGAGCCGUCGAAGUUGCCUCCUCGCAAAAUAUUCGACGUGCUCGGGGUAGAACUGCGCCUUGAGCUCGCGCACAAAGUCCUCCCAUGUCUUCAGUUGGCAUUGGCCUUUUUCGGCCUCUGCAGAACGUCGACGCCACCACAGCAUCGCGUUGUCAGUAAGGUACAUGGACGCAAUCUGGACUUUCUCCUCCUCCUCGUCCAGCCGCAACGCCUUGAUGUAGCGCUCCAUGUGCCACAGAAAAUUGUCGAUUUCCUUCUCAUCGCGUGUACCCUUGAAAUUUUGAGGCUCAGGAAUACGUACCUUCGAAGCGGACUCUCUUUGGGGUUCAUGGCCACGCGCCACCGCCUUCUCAAGGAUCGUUACUCUCGUUUUGAGGUCCUCGACCUCGUCGACUCGAGCAACGAGCUCCUUGAUCAGUUUCUUUCGCUUCUCGUCACGACGCUUCAUGUUGGCUUGGAGCUUUUCAAGUUCGCUUCGAAAUGUCUCCAUGGCAGUAGCGACGCUUUCCUCCAUGCUGUGGACAUCUUCGUUGAAUGAGUUAAAGGUAUCGGCCAUUUCGGUGUACCUUUCACCUAUUUUUGCGAUGAUGUCCUCCAACAGCACAAGACGGUCCUCCAACGACGCCGAAUCACUCGUGAUUCGUUGAAGGUCUUUGCUCGUGCUUCGCUUGGAGGGUCGGCCCCAACGUCGACAAUUCCCGCAUCGGAUGACGACAUGGUUCCUCACUUGAACCUGGUUUUGAUACCAACUGUCACGGCCUUAGCGGUUCUGUUGGCAAAGCCCGUGCGGCGCCCGCCUUCCUACUCGAAGAUGGACAAGCCUUCGUCCCUAUUGCUAGUCCGGACCUUCGCGUCCUACGACUAAAUAUGCAAAGGAAAAUGACAAAGAGAAAGAGGUAGAGGUUCACUCAAAAACUAAGUACUCCACUACUUAGAAAAGAGAUUACAACACACAUACACACACACUCCCUCUUGUGUGUUUUGACCUUAACCAAAACCCCACUACUUAUAAGCUCCUAAAUACAAUGAACUUAGACACACACUAACUCUUUCAUUAUGAGACACAUUAACUCACCCUCAUAAUGAACCAUAAGCUCAAAAGUCACCCCAUAACUCAUGAACUAUUGCAUACAUAAUGAGCCCUCAUAAUAGCCAAAAGCUCAAGAGUCACCCAUAACUCCCAUGAGUUUCAUAACCCUUGAGUUUUCCAAAGCGGGUUGGGUUUGGGUCUCCUUGACAACCCGAUUCAACCCGUUUUCAACCUGUUUCGUUAGCAGACUUGGGCCAUUGUCAAGGAGAAGUUAGCGGGAAACAUUUUGCCCGUGACACCGGGCAGGUUAGAGAUGUUUUUUGCCCGACACUUAUUAUAGACUCAGUCUGCUUAAGUUAUGACCAGGGAGCCUCCUGAAUUUAAGUUCUUUGGUGGUCGAAGCUCCUUAAUACAUGGAUUUCCAAAUACACAAGGGGCGUGUUUGGUUCACUUCUUUUUCACCCUAGAAUCGGAAUCAGAAUCGGUAUAGGUGAAUCCGUUUGUGGGUGUUUGGUAUGCGGGAGUCCCAUUCCGAUUCCGAUUUCCAAGUGGAAUGGGAAUCCCUCAAUCAUCUCUUUUUUCAAUCCGGCCUAAAAGGUCGGAUUGGAAGUUGAAUCCGAACGGAAUGAAUAUUUAUUCGGAUUAAAUUUAUUUUUUUCAACUUUUUUAAUUAAAAUAUUAGUUAAAAUUAAAAAAUUAAAUAUAUAAUUUUAAAUUUUAAUUUGAAGUUAAAUUAAAAAUUAAAAUUUUAUCAAGUAUUUCGAAUCCAACUUAUGAAUUUGAAUUUAAAUUAUGAAAUUAAAUUAAUAUAUUAUAAAGAUAAUGUUAGUAUAUUAAUUUGAUUACGUUUUUUAUAUCCACCUGAACGAAACACGGACAAUGGGAAUGAUUUAUUCUGAUUUCGAUUCAGGUGAUGAACCAAACAAAAUUAGGUAAUGAGUCAUUCCGAUUCCGAUUCCAGCUUAUUUUGAUUCCGAUUUCGAUUCCGACUCCGACUUCGAACCAAACACGCCCUAAGGGUUUAAUUUUGCUCAUGUAUUUUAUACGAUAAAAUCGAAAAAAUAUUUAUUGAUUCUGAUAGUAGUUGUUUAUUUUAAAGAAAUCGAAUUUCGAUUCCCAUUGCAUUCUGAAAUGAAAAUGACCAAAUUUAUUUAUGAUCCAAUUCGAUUUUGAAUUCCGGAUUGGACCAUUCAAAAGUUUAUAUCACUCAAAACCUUUUCUCGGAAACACCUGGAUCCCCUACCUCCCCCUUCACCACUCUUUUUUCUCUUAACCAAAACUCUCUCAAACUCUAGAUAUUCAUUCCGAUAAUAAAUCAAAUAUUUUUAGAUGAUUCGUUAUUGUAUGUUCCAUUUUAAUGCAAUUCAAUUUAUUUUCUAUUUUCAUUUCAAUCAUGAACCAAACAUGUCUGAUAAAUUGCACCACUAGUCCCAAACUUUUCGCUAAAUUUUAUGGCACAUUGGUUUGGUUCAAAAUAGAAAUCAGAAUAAGAUUGGGAAUUGAUCGGAAUCGAAAAUAGAAUGAUUAAAACAACAAUUUGUUUGGCUCAUAAAAAGAAUCAAAAUCAAAAUUAUAUUCAAAUUAAAAUUUUUUUAUUAAAUUAAAAUUUGUUAUUCAAAUUUUUAAUCAAAAUUUGAAUCCAAAUUUAAACUUAAAAUUUGAAUAUGCAAUUUAAGUUUAAGGUCAAAGUCAAAUUUUAAAUUUAGAACGAUUAAAUUAAAAUUUUUAAAAUUAAAAAUUUAAAUUUAAAUUUAAAAUUAUAAUUUGAUUUAAUGAAUUUAUAUUUAGACUUAUAUUUGAAUUCAAAUAAUUAUUAGUAGAAAAAAAAAUUUUCUCCAUCACUUUGGAAUCAAAGCUGACUCUCACCUUUAUGGUCGGAGUCAUUUUUUAGGGAUUCGAAUUCUCCAGAAUGAGAAAAGGAAUGCUAAUCCUUCAACCCAAAUACUAAUAAUAAAAAUAAUUUAUUUCGAUUCCAUUCCAAAUCUCAAAUGCUUUAAAUCAAACACGCCCUUACAUCACUUCUCAAACUUUGAAAUUCGGCAUCAGUGGCCGAAAACUGUUAAAGAGUUUUAUUUUGGUCCUUUUAUAUAUUUACAAUUAUAGUUUAUUGCCUACACUGAUCAGUGCAGCUAUGGAUCUAAGUUAUCUUUUUCAUCGUGUGUAUAUAUAUAUAUAUAUAUAUAUAGAGUGAGGCUACUAUACUAUCGGAAGCACGGAGCCUUCCGUGCUUCCAGCUCGCUUUCGAUGUUGCGACUUUCAAAUCGUCGAUCGACUCCGUUAAACUUGAUCUAGAGUAUUUAGAGUACCUAGAAAAUAAAUUUUAUGAUUUUACGAUUUCAUUUGCCUAGUGAACGAAGGGGCUCAAAAUCAACGGCUGAAAAUAAAAAUCUUACAAAAUGUAAUAAUAUGACAUUAAAAUUUUAAAUCAAAGAUAUUGAUCUUAUUUUAUAUAGUAUAAAGAAUUUUCUAUCAAAAUUUCACGUGAUUUGGAUAUUUCUACACCGUUAAACUUGCAAACGGCUCACUACGACCAUUGAAAUUUGUUGAUUUUGAGCCCAUUCGAUCACUAGGCAAAUGAUAUCGAAAAAUAAUAAAAUUUAUUUUCUAGGUACUCCAAAUACUCUAGAUCAAGUUUAACGGAGCCGAUCGACGAUUCGAAAGUCGCAACAUCGAAAAUGAGCUGGAAGCACGGAAGGCUCCUUGCUUCCGAUAGCAUAGUAGCCUCACUCUAUAUAUAUAUAUAUAGAGAGAGAGAGAGAGAGAGCUAGGCUAGUAUACUAUCGGUAGCACGGAGGCCUCCGUGCUACCGAUAGUAUACUAGCCUAGCUCUCUCUCUCUCUCUCUCUCUCUCUCUCUCUCUCUCUCUCUCUCUCUCUCUCUCUCUCUCUCUCUCUCUCUCUCUCUCUCUCUCUCUCUAUAUAUAUAUAUAUAGAGAGAGAGAGAGAGAGAGAGUCCGGCUAUGGUGCUCGUAAAAGCACCAAGCAUUUGGUGCUUGUAAAUUUUUUACCGUUAAAUUUCUGUCUUUGAUCAUUUUUACCCGUUAGAUUAUACUAUUCAACCAACCACCCACUCAACCCUAGGGGACCCACAUCAUCCUAACUGCACAUCCAUUAAUCCAAAGGCCAAAAACUUACAAGCACUAAUAACUUGGUACUUUUAAAAGCAUAGGAGCUCAAUUCUAUAUAUAUAUAUAUAUAUAUAGAGAGAGAGAGAGAGAGAGAGAGAGAGAGAGAGAGAGAGAAUACUAUCAGUAGCAAAAGGGUUCCGUUGUCAUCCAUUUAUUUUCAAUGAUCGAGCCUUCAAAUCGAAGAUCAGCACCGUUAAACAUGAUUUAUACUACUUGAAGCAUUCUAGAAAUCAAAUUUCAUACUUUUUCGAUAUUGUUCUCCUGUCCAUCAAGUGGAUACAAAAAUGAACGGCUAAAAAUAAAUAUUCUUUAAAAAAUAAAAAUAAUAAUAGGAGUUUUGUAAUCAAGAUCAAAAGUAUAGAUUUUAUUUUAAAUAGUUAAAAAAAAUUCUAACCAAAAUUCAACAGGUUUGGAUAUCAUUAUGUUAUUAAAAGAGAAACGUAACGUUAAAAUUACGAAUUUUAAAACCCUUUGAUAAUUAGGUCAAUGAUAUCAAAAAAACUUGAAAUUUAAUUUUUAGAUACUUCAAAGGAUAUAAGUCAUGUUCAACGAUAUCAAUCGUCGAUUUGAAGGCUCAAUCAUUAAAAAUAAAUAGGUGGCAGCAAAACUUGUUUACUACCAAUAGCAUUUCAACCUAUCUCUCUCUCUUUCUCUCUCCCUCCCUCUCUCUCUCUCUCUCUCUCUCUAUAUAUAUAUAUAUAGAGAGAGAGAGAGAGAGAGUUGAGCUAGAAUACUAUCGGUAGCAAACGGGCUCCGUUGCGGCCCAUUUGUUUUCGAUGAUGGAGCCUCCAAAUCGAUGAUCAAAAUCGUUGAAUAUGAUCUAUACCACUUAAAGUAUCUAGAAAUCAAAUUUCAUACUUUUUCGAUAUUGUUCUCUUGUCCAUCAAGCGAGUGUAAAAAUGAACAGCUGAAAAUGAAUAUCCUCUAAAAAGUGAUGAUAGAAAUUUUGUAAUCACGAUCAAGAGUAUAGAUCUUAUUUUAAAUAAUUUAAAAAAUUUUCUAACAAAAAUUCAAUUGAUUUGAAUAUUUUUACACCGUUAAAUGAGAAAACGCCUCAUAUCAACCAUUAAAAUUACAAAUUUUGAAACCCUUUGAUCAUUAGGCAAAUGAUGUCGAAAAGAUGUGAAAUUUAAUUUUUAAACACUUCAAGUGGUAUAGAUCAUAUUCAACGAUGCCGAUCGUCGAUUUGGAGGCUCCAUCAUCGAAAACAAAUGGGUGGCAACGAAACCCGUUUGCUAUCGAUAGUAUUCUAGCUCAAUUUAUAUAUAUAUAUAUAUAUAUAUAUAUAUAUAUAUAUAUAAAAGACCUCUUGUUUGGUGCUUUAGCUGCUACUCCAGUUAUAAGCCGUUGGACAAAACAUAGAAAACCCAAAAAAAAAAUAAAAAAAUAAAUCAAAUAACACUGCUCGGCUACGCAUAACAUUGCUGGCCACAAAGUAAAUCCAACUAACCCUUAUCUUCUUAACAGCUUUCUCUAACAGCAGUUACGUAAAACUCCCGAGUUAACAAAACAAAGAUCUUUAAGACCUAGAGAGGACAUCUCAAAGUUCACAGAAAAUACUUCAUAACACUCACACUGCUGGCAAUUGGUUUCUCAUAUUUACUCAAAGAUUGAAAACUGUAACGCAAAAAAACUGAGCCCGUAAGAUAGAGUUUGGUGCAUCCAACCAGCAUCACACACUCACACACUCGCAAAACCAAUGCAAGUUUACAAUUUCACAUUUCAAAUUACUUUUAACCGGUUGGCUCAGUAACGAGUAAACAAAAGAUUUUUUACACAAUGUACUUCAUACUACUUUCUGUUACACUGCAUUUUGCACAUCGGCAUAUUUUGUGAAGAUUGAAGAAUCAGAAAAAUGAGACAGAAACUCACAAUACAACACAAUGCCACAAGACAAGAACGAUAGUGUGAGGAACCGGAAGGAGAGAGAAGAGGUACCUAUCAAUCUAAGGCCAAUUGGUGAAUUCAAACACCUUUUGCACUAUAUCGAACCCGGUUGGGAUCUGCCAUAUGAACAACAGGACGUUCAAUGUGUUCAAUGCAAUGUGGAGAUUCCUUGCAGUCUCAUUUCCCUUCUGCAUGGCAGGGACAAGCGCUGCGGCCGCUGCCCACAGCACAGUGAUAGCUACAACAACAGAUGAGCACACGCAAAUAUUUGGAAAAAUGAGUUUGCAAUUGUAAUGCUACUAUGAUUGAGGACAAAAAAAAUUUUGAAUAGAUGCUAUCAUAUACCACCAAGUUUUUGUUGUUAUUGUUUGGCGGUAGGAUUUCUUGUUCAUGGGCUGAUGGCUAUCAUUCUGUGUGAAUAGUAGACUAUCCUAAAUGUUUUUUGUCAAAAUAAAACAUAUUUAUAGUAGAUAUUCUACGAUGACGAUGGAUAGAGGUAAAAGACUUUCUUGAUCCUCAGAUAGAUGAAAAUAUAGCACGCACGCGAAUAAUCUAGCAUACCUUUUUCUAUAAUAAAUAAAAUACAGUUAAUAACUAAAUUAGCCAUUAGAGUUUCACCCUCAAACUUCUUAUUAUAACAAUCUAGUCUACCGACCGCCCCUAGCGCAAGUGGCAAAGGACUUGGUGGUUGGUACCCAAGGUCUCAAAUCCGAAUCCUAGUUGAUUCACAUUUUCAGCUAAGUUUAUUUCUAAAUAAAAUAAACGAAGCGGGUAGUAUGCUACCCAUCUCUUAAAAAAAAAAAAAAACAAUCUAGUCUCUGAAAUUUGUUCUGCAUACCAAUUGGGUUCUUAGUUACUCCAGCCUAGGAGAACGAAAUUGAAACUAUUAUAGUUGAACUUCUGAGGAUGAAAUUGAAAUUUGCAUCACACUACAUGGACUAAAUUAGUAAUUAAUCCUGUAUAAGUGUACACACUACAUGGACUAAAUUAGUAACUAAUCCUGUAUAAGAGUACACAAAUCGUAAGAAGCUUACGAAGAAUAUAAUCAUCUUCCAGUUUUCUUUACAUUCUCCUUAGUACUUAAAGAGGUCAAUGUAGUAUUGCACGAGGGAUUAAGAGGGCACAAUCACAAAGAGAUUAGAAGAAUAUUUCGAAUUUUCCUCAUCUUUCUAUUUUAUCUGGCAAUUUUGAAAAUAUAAACAGGAUGUGCAGUAUUUAUCACUAUAAAGGAUGAAGCACCAACAAUACAGUCCACUGCUGAGGAUACCAUUACGUAAUGACAAUGAGGCCAAAGAACUUAUAAUAAAGCAAGAUUUAAGUGCCCAUCGAUAUAGGCUGUAUCUACCAUACUAUAUCGUGCCAACAAAAUAUCAGCACGAUACAGCUCCCAUACCGAUGGCACAGCUCAAAACUCUCUUUUCUUUACAUUAGUAAGUAAUUUUUUCAAUAAAGUUCAAAAGACUUGAUAAAGAUACAUAAUAAGCAAUUAAAAUAUUUUGUUGCUAAAAAAAAUAAAUACUUUAUGUAAUUAUAUGUAGGUAACACAUAUAUUUUUUGUGACCAGCAUGCAUCGGCACAGUCCGGCACGCACCAUAUCAUACCGUGCCGGCAAGUUUUCGACACGACCCCGUGCCACGGAACUUAAAUCCUUGCGAGAAAAAGCCUUGACAAACGAUCAUUCACUCAAGAUUCAGUAUUUCUAAAUCACCAAAAAUUACACUACUUUUUAGUAAUCAACAGGGAAAGUUUUUAUUCUCAAAUUCUGGUUUUGAACAAAACUAUUUCCUACUGUCGCUAACAUAAGUACACUGAGCAAUCAGAUUAAGUUGACAGAUCCAUGUAUUGUUGCCGACUACAGCCCCUAUGCCAACUACAGCCCCUAUGAUUAAACACUUUCCUGGGAACAAAUCUGCCAGGGAAAGUAGUUUCAAUUCAAAGUAUUUUAUUUUCUGUGGUAAAUGAGUAAGUGGCAAUCUCUCUACCCAACACUUAAUAUACCAAAAGCAUCGAGGGUUGGUAUUCCGAAAGCACUUUACGCUGACUAUACAAAAUAUAUGUACAAGCAGACAAAGAAUGACAGGGCCACCAGUAUUGGAGUGCUAAAGAAAAAGAAUGAUUGAAUAAUUGAGUUAGGUUUUCUAUACACUUGGGCUCGAAUUUAAUCUCUCACAAGAAGCGAAGAAAGAGACUAUAAUUACUAUUGCACUCUGAUUAUAGCCAUAGAUAAAUGUAGUCCUGGUCUAAGUGUUUGACUUCGGACAAAGAGCCGUAAUUGGAAAAGGUCACCUAUCCAUUUCAUAGAGUAUUAUACAUGUGGAAAUCCAAGGAAGGAAACAACCCCAGAUCCGCCUAGACUUUGAAUUGAUUGCAAAUCGCUCAAAUACUAGAAGUUGGAAAGAUGAAAUUUAUUAUGUGAAUAAUUGAUUUGCACUAAUCAACUACCCAGCUUGAUUUUCUCGCCUUCUAUCUGCUGUCGUUACGAGAUGGUCAUGCGACAGGAAAGAUACUAGAAAUGAAGUUGAAAAUCUAACGUUAGAAAAUUUAGUGCUAACGUAAACCCUUUCCACAAAAUUUAGGGUUAAUUGACCCUGUCCGGCAAGAAAAUCCCGAACAGGAUGUAAACCCUUCCCAAAACCAAAUCUGAACAAAUUUUAUUUCAAAUGGAAUUCAAAUCAAAUCUGAUCCAGGACCCAUAAUAUGAAGAUUAAAGAUGCUUAAUAGAUUCUUAAGCUAAAUUAAAUAGAGCAGCUAAGGCAUCGUCCGGUAUUAUCACAGUUUGUUCAUUUUCGUGAACACAAACUCUAUCCAAUGGAACAUAGGUAAGUUCAUCUACUAGUGCAUCCAACCACAUAUAGUUCUUUUAUGAAACAAAUAGAAAAAACAGUAAGAAAUCUAAGUGAGCUGUAACUAUUUAACAACUAGUCAUUCCCCCUUUCUUUGAUAAUAUAUACAUGGUAUCUCUAAAACAGCAUUUCUAUUUGAGAAACUAUAGAUUUUCAGCCUCCUUUGGGUACACUUCUGCUUGUAAUCUGUACGACAAAAACCAAAAGCUUACUAGUAACAUCUUUUUUGCUUCUUUUUUGUAACAAAGAUGCCUUUUGGCAAUUGGCCAGACUACAUCGCAAGCUAGCCAAUGAUGACAAAAGUAGCGAUGUCCCUCUAUUGGCACAUCCAACCACAGAAUUGUUACAUAUAAAAAUUAAAAAAACAACAGCAAUACCAAACAAGGUAUAACUACAUUAAUUUUAUUAGUUAUACUUUUUCUUUUGAUAAUAAUAUGCAGUAUACAAUAAGUGUGAAACAACCGAUGUACUCUAAAAGCUUAAGCUGUUAGAGAACGGUGUUUAAACAUUUUUAUAUUUAACACUCCCCCUCACGUCUGGGCUCGAAACCUUUUAAUCAGCCCAUGACGUGGGCUUGAAUUAAAUGGGAGGAAAUUAAUAUGCUAGGAGUCUGGCGUGACUCGAACUCAGGACCUCCUGCUCUGAUACCAUGUGAAACAACCGUUGUACUCUAAAAGCUUAAGCUGUUAGAGAACGGUGUUUAAACAUUUUUAUAUUUAACAAUAAGAAUGUUCUUAGUCAAGAAACUAAAAAUUUAAGGCCAAAUUUGGUUAGACUUGACACUUGCUUUGUUUUCUUAACAGUGAAAUUUUAUGCGACUGAAUGUGCUAGCAUAUGACAAAUUAUUAGCAAACUAUAUAUGUAUAAAGUUUGUUCAGCCAGAGGAAAAAAGAAAAGAAAAAAAAAAAAAUUAGUGACAACUUAUUUCACUUGUUUCCUUUUUUUGUGAAGAAAAUGAGUUUGCAAGCUAAUCAACACGUCCCAAGAAUAAAAAAGUUCAUCCAUUAGUGCGUUCAAAUGCAUGGAAAUGUAAGCAUAGUGAAACAAGGCUUUAAAAUCGUUGAUUUGUAAUUUCAAUUUUCAUGUAAAAAUAGGACCGACACUAGAUUGGGUCCGGAUGUAACUUCUAAAGCAUCAAUGGUUAAAUCGCCUAGUGUACAAAAGUUCCCUACACAGAAAAUUCGCAAUCAAUUUCCAAUGUAUGAAAAUCUUCUUUUGGAUCAGCCAGUCAGCAACUUUAGUAAAAUCACAAUUUUAAGGCGCUAGGUCACAUACUAAAACACUCGACCUAUCGUGUCCUUACAACAGGUAUUAACAGGUUGUGACAAUGCAUGGGACAAUCUCACAGACCCAGUUCUUUUCUUAUUUUUCCUUCAGUGGUCCUCAAGAAAUGCUACAUGCUAUAUAUAAGACAGAUCUCAAAGUGGAAGCAAUAAAACAAGCGCAGGUAAAAACAGAGGGGGAAGGGAGUAAGCUUUCCAGAGCAUACCAGCUCCAGCGAAGAGGUGGGGCCCGGGGAAGAGCUUCCCUGUGCGGAACCACGUAUUUAUUGCCCCUCCCACUGCCUCGAACACUCCGAAUCCCAGCAGUAUCGACCCUGCAUUAUAGUGCCGAUCCCUGUACGAUCCCUUCAGCAGCUCCUUCCUCUCCUGUUCAAAUCCCAACACCAAAAAUUUCACAUCUAAAUUCUAAUUUCUGCACUCCCAUGAAAAAUAAUAAUUGAAACAAACACGGAGAUAAUUAUGAAAUUGUGCUAUGGCAGUAAUUGUUGCUACUCAAAGAACAGUUUUAACAUCGUUACUCAUUUACAUGUUUAAAAGAUCUGACAAAAUAUACAACACAAACUGACGGAAGAGGCAAAAGAAACUACAAAUAGAACAACACUAAGAAAUUUAUGUUAUUAUAUGAUGAAUGUAAAUGAAUCAAAGCCUCGUGAAACAGAGUCGUAGGGCCGAUUCCGAUGCUAUAAUACAAAAAGAUAGAUAUAUGAAGUAGAAUACGACAAAAUGGUUCGGGAAUAAUCAGAAAACUGAUUUUGGCUCCGAUACCAUAUUACCAAAAACAUCUGUUGAAAUUGGGGAGCUAAGGACUAGUUGAAAUCUUAUAGGAUACGGUUCGGGAAUAGUCCGGGGUCACCUCGGUGAGCUUCUGAAUCUUGGCUUCGACCGGGGAGACCUCCGCAGGGGGCGGCGGCGACGCAUCGGAAGCAGCGGCGCCAGCGGGAACUGCGGCGGCGGCGGGGGCCGGGGAUUUGACCUGCUGCUUCUUGAGCUGGUUGAUCUCGUCCUGGAUGGUGCGGACGCGGCGCCACUGCCACCCCAAGUACCCCGCCCACAGCGUGUAGAAGAAGAGCCCGCUCAUCACCAACGGGUGCACCAGCGCCAGCGUGCGCCCCUCCAAGAUCCCGAACUCCCCUCCCACCGCCAUCGCGUCCUUCAUCGACCCCAUCCCCAAAUUAAUUUCUAGGGUUUCGUUACACACGCGGUACGAGAUCAAAGAUGAUGAGGAGAGGAGUACGUGCCUGGGGAUUGACGAAGAGGGGCAAUGAGAACGCCGCGGCGGCGGCGGAUGCUGCUGCGGCGGAGGGUAGGGGGAGGGAUUCGGAGAGCGAUCGGAGAGCGACGGAGAGGUGGAAAUGGAGAUCGAGCGACGACGACGACGACGACGACGACGACGACGAUGGGGUUUUGGAGAGCUUAGAGGAGAUAGGGAUGGGAUUGGGGAGGAGAUUGAGAAGCCCCAUCGUUGCGGCGGUGCUCGCCAUUGUUGCUCCCUCUCAAAGUUUCAGAGAGAGAGAGAGAGAGAGAGAGAGAGAGAGCGUGUGUGUGUUCGUGUGAUUUUGGAGGGAAAGAGGAGAUAAGAGACGAGGGGACGAGAAAAGGAGAUGGUACGGAGAAAAUGAAUGGCGGAGUAUGCGGACGCGUGGGGCUACGAGAUUAGCCGUUGGAUUCGUGCUACAGUGGCAUUUGGGUAAUUAAAGAACGGUGGAUGGUGGAGGAACGAUGGGUCCGCAUGCGACUCCGCAUGGAGGAUUUCGGAAGAGGAAGCGUCUUGAAGCUUCUGGUGAGCACACGCACGCACGUAAUACAAAUUGCACCCCUAGUCCCUAACCUUUCAGCAAGUUUUAUUUUGGUAUACAAACAUUUAAGUUGACCAGUAGUUGUCUCUAAAUUUACAAUUAAAAAAAAAAUUACUUAUACACCUCUGAAGUGUAAAUAUUAUAUUUCUUAUCUUAGAAUCUACAAAAAAAAAAAAAAAAAAAAAAAAAAAAAGCCGAAAUAGAUUUUAGUGAAAUAAAAAAAUGAUGUGAUAAGUAAAAAAAUAAUAGCUUUUAGAUAGAAUGAGUGCAAAAUAUACACUCCCGUAGCAUUGCUCAUAAAAAAAAAAAUAAUGAAUACAUCCAAAAAUUAGUGUAUAUUUUCCAUUCGAUUUAUCCAAUAGAUGAGAUAUUUUUAUUAAUCACAUUAAAUAACUAGUAAGAUGUAUAUCUUUCAAUCACUUAUUGGAUGUGUGGUGUGUAGUUAAUCUUAAAAAUUUCAGAAACACUACUGAUACGCAAAAAAGGAUAUAAAUCUUACGAUCUUUUAUUCCGAGAUCCAUAUCGGUUAAAAAAAAAAAAAAGGUUCAAGUUUGUAUUGACAAAUCUUACACUCUUUUAUCCAUCGGUCUAUAUUGAUGGAGAAAAAAAAAUUGAGCAAUACUACAUACUAGGGGCGGAAACGAGCAAGCUCGAGCGAGCUUAUGAACCUGUUUGGCCUAAUUUCUGAAAAAGUGAUUUCUGAAAAUAUGAUUUUGAUUUAGAGAAUUGAUUUUGCUUAAAAGCUGUAGAGCGUUUCGCCGAAAUAGAUAAAAGUGNUUAGACUUAACUUUGGGUUUUAGGCUUUGUUUUUUGUUUUAGUUUUAGUAUAUUUUAGUAUGAUAUAUAUUUCUUGUUAAAACAUAUAAAAAUUAUUAAUUAUAUAUAAUUAUUAAAUUAAAUUAUAAAUUAUAUAAUUUAUCAGUUUUUAAUAGUACUUUAUAGAUAAUCAUAAAGAUGAUAACUAUUCUCUAUUUACCAUUUUUACUAUAAAAUUUUUAAAUUGAGGCAAAGUCUACCGGAAUGGGCUGGAAUUGAUCACCUUCUGUAAAUACUAUUAUAAACUGUAUAACUUCCCGUAAGUGUUAUAAUAUUUAAAAUUUUUCUAUAACUAUUUUAACUACCAGCGAUCUUCUUGUAGAUAUUUUAAUAAGGAUUAAAAUUGAUGUCCGCGUACGUGGUUUUGUCGACGUUCGAGAGGUUGACGCACCAGCAUUGUAGAUGUCCGUAUGUACGUCAGGGACGUUCAAGAAUAGGUCCGCCUCGGGAAGGUACGUAAUUGACCCUCCUUACUCAGGUUGUAGUUAUAUAUCAAGGGUAGAGGGAGAGGGAGAGGGAGAAGGAGAGGCAGCGGAACAAGUCACCGUACCGUGGAGCUAGGCGAAAGUGGAGUACUUACCCGUCUACAAACACACAAGAUCGAUCGUCGGGAAGAGCGGGCACUCGCAACGCGACAACCGUGCUUGGCUGCCAAACACGGUUGACGUACGUCACAUGACGAACGAACAAACGCUGUUUAGUUCAUUCGUUCCUUCCUGUAAACAGAACUACGUCGUUAUAUAUAUUGACAAAGUAGAAUCGGCAAUUGGAUCUAGUCAUUAAUAACCAACGUGGAUAAAGUAGAUAAAUAAACAUGAAAAAUUUAAAUAGUAAUAAAAUAAGUAGAGCGCGAAAAUUAAGUCUACAGUUUGAAAGCAUAUUUCGUUUAAUUUUAACAAUGAGUUGUUUAUCAUCCUUGUUUUAUAUGCAACUUUUUUUUUUAUAUCGAGUCUACUUUUUCUCGAACCACCGUUUUUUUGAACCACCAACUAUAGAUUCCAGGGUUUAAGCUUAGGAUUAAUUAAGUGUAAAGGUCGAUUCAAAUAAAGAUUUAUUUAAUUUGCUUUGUCCAUCAUGCGAUGGAUAGAUAAUUUUAUAUAUAUAUAUAUUGAUUUGGAUAUGGACUAAAAUUAUAACUGAAUUUAAAUAUAAUGGGAUUUCAUUUUUUAACCUAUAACUGAAACUACCCCUACUGAGCUUUGAUUAAGCUCACUCCAUUUAAAAUCGAGUCCUGAUAAAAUUGUGUAGCUAUAUCAAUUCACAUUUCUAAUUAGUAAAAGUAAUUUUAAAGUAAAUGAUAGAUUUAAUUUUUUUCUCAUUUAAUCAAAAAUAAAUCACAUAAUUAUAUGCAUGCAUUUUUUUGGCGAUUGAAAAAAAGGGAGUUUUGUUCAAAAUCUAAAAUAUAUUAUAUUUUAGUUUUUUAAUGCAUUUAGGGGAUGUUUGGUUGUAUGUAAUUACAACUGUACGGUAGUUGUAACUAAAUGAAAAUGCAAAUUCGCGUUUGGUUUGAUUUAUUUAACUCCAACUAUUGCAGCUAGCAGGAAUUGCAGGAGGAUGUCCAACUGCAGCAGUUGGAAUUACACCUAAAUUGACCGCAGUUCUAAUGGUAGCAGUUGGAGAGAGUAACUUUAAACAAAUAAUAAACUUACCUCAAUUAUUUUUUAACUAAAAAAUAACUUUUUUUUACAUUGAAGGUAAUUUCACCAUCAUAUAUAUAUAACGAUAAAAUUUUAAAAAUUAUUUCUCAGCUGCAUUCAACCAAACAAAUUAUUUGUAGUUGCAGCGCUUUCAACUACAUCCAACCAAACAGAAUGUAUGUAGUUCCACAAAUUGCAAUUGCUGCAUUUUCAAUUGCAUGCGUUUUCAAUUACACUGCAUUUUUAAUUAUAUCUAACCAAACAGCCCCUUAAUGCAAAUAAAAUUAUUGAGAAUAAUUUUGGUUAAAAUUUUUUUAAAACUUACAAGAUUAAAGAGAGAUCGGAAAAAUUCUCAACUUUUAUUUUUAUUUAAAUUUUUAUAGGUAGUUACUUAUUUGCUAAAAAAUAAAUAAAGCCACUAGAUUUGGUAAAAUCAUAAAAAAAAAACUUGAUAAAAUUUUUAUUUUUCAUACACUAAAAUUAGUUAAUUUUUUAAAAACCUAAAGGAUAAUGGGUGUUAAAAGAGUAAAAAUUGAGGGAUCCAGUUUCGAAACCAUAUAGUUGAGGGUGUCUCCAUACAUUUUGACUUAAGAGAUAGUUAAGGGUAAAUAAGUUAUUGUAAAAAUUAACCCAUCUUUAAUUAUUUAAUAACUAUGAUAAAAUUAGCACCACUAACGACAGGGAUAUUAAUUAUAAUUUUCUGUAUUUAUUGGAGCAUAUGAAUGUAAUAUUCUAAAUUUUAGAAGAGUAUAUAUAUAUAUGAUAUUGUAGACUUCUAUAGAAGUAUUUAUAAAAUUGCACCUUAAAAUUGUAUUAGGUGACUAUGUUGCUGCAUAUGACGUGGGUAUCUCGACUGCGAUUCCAAAAAUAAUUGUGACAGGAAAAAAAAAUUUUGUAUUUGACAUGAUAUACAUCCUCCCCUAAUAUAUAUAUUAGAUGAUUAGAAUACGAAGGUGGUCUCUUUGCGAAACGGAUUGUCAAUAAAAGAAUAAUUAAUUUAUGAGGCAACACAACAGUGAUUUGAUGGAUUUUUCAUUGGCUAAUUAUUGUUUCCGCCUGACAAAAAAAACAAAGAAGAGAGAAAUGGCCGAACCGGAGGAGGGAUUCUACACUGUCACACUUGCACCACGUCAUCAAUAACAAGUCAAUCAUAUUUCUUCUUUUCAAAUAAAAGUACAAUAAAAAUACUUUUUUACAAUCAUGAUGUGACAUAUAUUUUUAAAAAGAUUAAUUUAAAACAUCAGAGGCAGGCACGUCUUCCCGUAAACAUCUCGUCACGUUUUAAAUCUCAAUCACUCGCUUUCGUUCAUUUAAAACCACAUGUAAUCAGAGUGCGAAAAGUAUAUCACCAUCAGUCCAUCACCAUCAUCAUUAUUAAGCUCCGCCUAUAAUUGAGAAGUUUCUCGCCGAAUUCCAAUCUAGUAUUCCACCGACCGUCGCUAGCGCAAAUGACAAAAAAUUUAAUGAUUGAUAUCCGACACCCAAAUUUAAAUUCUAGUUGAUUUACAUUUCUAACUAAAUUUAUUUCGAAAUGAAAUAAUCGAAGCGGAUAGUAUGCUAUUUAUCUCUCAAAAAAAAAAAAAAAAAGUGUAUUCCACGGGUGUUGCUAAUCUAAAACAUUGUUUGGUUUGAAAAUGAAAAAAGAAGGAAAAAGAAUAAGAGCCUUAUCUCAUCCUUGGUUUUUCCAAUUUUUCUAAAAUAAUUCGUUUAAGAGGAUAGAAUUAUUAUUCCACUCUUUUUUAGAACAAUAAUCUAUUUUCUGCAUAUAUACCUCUACUAAUUUAAUAAUAAAAUAUUAAAAAUUAAUAUAUUAUAUAUAAUUUUAUUAAUUAAUUAGUUAGAUAAAUAAUUAAUCACUUGAUUUAUUACAAUAAUAAAUAUGUAAUUAACUAUUUGAACGAUUAAUCUAUUAUUUAUAACUAAUUAGCUAAUUAAAAAAUUAUUAUUUAGUGUGUUUACAUUGAUUAACUAAUUAAUUAACUAAUAUUUAUAUUGAUUAACCAAUUAAUAUUUUGACAAAUAUAACUAAUUAAAUAAUUAAGUAAUUAGUUUAUUAAUUUAUUAACUUAAUUUGUUAGUUUAUAAAAUUAUUUCUAGUUAGUUAAUUUAUAAAUUAACAGUACUCAUUGUGAUAUACUGGAUCUUAGUAAAUAGGCAAAUUUACGGUAUGAAUUUUUAGUCAGUAUUUUUCUAUAGUGCUUGAUUGAGUUAGAGACAUUUUGACGCGAAAUAAACGCAAAAACGAACUCAGAAAUUCAAAAUUUAACUUGUGGAAACUAAAAUUGAAAUACUUGAAAGGUGAGGGACCUUUGAUAAUUGUGCAAUUUUAGUGGAGUCCACCCAAGCAUUCUUAUCUAUUUAUGUUCGUAUCUCUUUCACUAUGAAGCUUCAAAAGAGAGAGAGAGAGGAAAAAAAAAAAAAAAGAGAAAGAAAGCAAGCUUUGGUUCUUUUCUGCAAUGAGCGAUCCGCGUGCGCAUGCAUUUUUUUAGAUUGCGUUUGGUUGGAGAACUAAAUUUUAGAAAAUAAUUUUUAUUAUUUUUGAGAAUAAAAAAUAUUUCGGUAUAAGAUAGAAUAAUUAUAAAUUUAUGUUUGAAUGUAUUCGGAAAUAUUCGCGUUUGGUUUGCACUAUAAAAGAUUACUAGGAGUAAAAAGAUAUCCGAGAAUAGGAAGAUAUCCGAGAAUCUUAUUCCUAUUCAUCCUAAUGUAAUAUUUCGGUGUUUGGUUUGUACAUUCAUAAUAUUUUAUCGUAUUAUUUAAGAUUAGAAUAAUAUACAAUUAAUUAAUUAAUUAAUAUAAUUAAUUUUAAAUAAUAUUAUAAAAAAAUUUUAACAUUUUUUUAGAAAAAGGAGAGAGAGAAUAUAGGUAGAAAGAGAGAGCAUAAUUAAAAAAAUAAAAAGAGAAAUAGAAUCAAGGUUAGAGAGAAUGAGAUAUGGUUGAGAUUUUAGAAAAAAAGAGAGAGAAAUAGCUUAAUUUAGAGAGAGAAAAAGAGUUUUUUUUUUGAGAGAGAUAGAUAGCACGCUACCCGCUUCGUCUAUUUCAUUUGGAAAUAAACUUAGCUGAAAAUAUGAAUCAACUAGAAUUCGAACUUGGGUCUCAGGUACCAACCACCAAGCCCUUUGCCACUUGCUUUAGAGACAGUUGGUGAGAGAGAAAAAGAGUUGAAGUUUAGAAAAAAAAAAGGAUAAGUUUAGAGAGAGAUAUGAGAUUAGAGUGUAAAGAAAAAUAAUACCAACUAGUUGGCAGGGGAAGAAAAAAAGAGAUUAGACAUAUUAUAAUUACUCCAAUCUAUUAAUAUAAAUAUACCCACCCUCUCUCAAGGGAAUGAGAUUAGUACUUUGGGAUGCAUCUCAUUCCCAAGUAAAUCUAGUAUUACCAACUAGAUUACUUAGUGCGUUUAGCCAAACACCGUCAUAUUUUUUUAUUCUUACUGGAUUAUUAGGAAUCUUAAAAAGAUAGCGCGAACCAAACGCACCCUUAAAGAUAUUCUUGGUAGGGUUUGGAUAAAAAGUGUAGAACAAUAUCUAAAUAUAUUUUUUUUAAAAAAAUAAUUAAUUUAUAUUAGUAUAUUUUAUAUAAAAUUAUUUAUAAAAUUAUUUCUUAUUUCUUAUAGUAAUAUAUAAUAUAAUAUUUUAUGUAACAAUGUAAUUUCAAAUAGUAUAUUUAUUUUAUUAUAUAUAAUAAUAAUUUAUUUUAUAUAAUUUAUUCAAAAUAUAUGUAACGAAAUCCUUAUAAUUUUAAUUAAUAAUAGUAUAAAUUUCAAUACAAAUUAAAAAAUAUAUAUAAUGCAUGAAAAAAAAUUAUAUAUAUAAUACUUAAUAUAAAAUAAAAUAAUUAAAUAUUGAUAUAUAAAUAAUAAAACUUAAUAAAAUAACUAAUAUAUCAAAUUUAAUUAAUUUAUAUUAUAUAAUAAAAUUUAAGUAUAAAUAUAUUAUCAUAAAAAUAAUAUUUAUAUAAAUAUAUUUAUUUAUAUAUCUAUUUAUCUAAUAAAAUAAAGAGGAGAACAAAGUUGUUCUCAAUUCUCCUUGGAACAAUUUUUAACGGGUUGUUUUAGAACAACUCAGAACAAUCCGUUUUGACCGGAACAAUCUGUUCCUCAUGUUCCUCUACUGUUUGGUUACAACUUUGGGAUAUUUCGUGUUGUUCCGGGAUAUCCUCGGUACCAAACACAGCAUAAUCAUGCAUGUUUAUAUUAUCCCUAAUCAUGCAUGUUCAUAAUUUAUUUUUGGUUCAAAAAGGGUGCCAAUCAAUUACUAUAGUAAAAAUUUGCACUAUAACAAAAAUAAAUUUUAGUUACACUUUUUUAAAGCUUUACCAUUUUUUUAUGGUUCUUAUCCUAUCGUAAACUUAUAACGUAAUUAAACAGAGAUCUAAUUUUACUGUAGUAAGCAAAGUUUCAAUAAUGGAGAUUUGACAUCACGUGUAGUGGGGUAUGAAAUUAAAUGUAAAUAAUAGCAGUUCCAUUUGACAAAAAUAGUACCCAACUAUUGUCAUUUGCAGCGAGGGAAAUUAAUUUAUACUUCUUUUGCUCGGUAAAAAGAUAACAUGACUCUACUGCACGUGAAAUGAUCUAUCCUUUUCCAAAAUUGAUCACUCGUGCAAAAUGUUUUAAUAUUUUUGUCGACUGAAACAUCACAUCUUGUUGGAAAAAUACUAAGAAAGAACCAAAAUGGAUUAUGGAAAUAAGGACCAGAAACCCAUAAUUUCAAAUUUGUGGUGCAUAGCAUCUGUGAAGUCAUGUAAAGAAUAUAUACUUUGUGGAUAUGCUUUGUCAUAAUUUUGUUUUAAAUGGUACGACUUUUGUAUUCUUAUGGGAAAACUUCAAAAUCUUCCGUGUUUCGUUUUUUUUCUUUUUACUAUCUUAUGAUUUAAAGUGUAAUAAGUUAGUACCCUGUGAUUUUAUUUUUCUCUUAAUGAAAUAUUAUAUAUAUAUAUAUAUAGAAAAAGAGAGAGAGAGAGAGAGAGAGAGAGAGAGAGAGUUGAGCUAGAAAACUCCCAAAAGCAUCAUCAAUGUGGUGUUUUUGAAUUUUUAACCAUUAGAUGGAGAGAUGUAGGGUUGAAAUGAUGGUGCUAGGUAGAAUAGUGUUUGAUAAAAAAACUAUUAGUAAUUAAGAAGCAGAUCUAAGGACUAGAAACUUAGAAGUACCAAGAUGUUGGUCCUUCUAAAAGUAUUCUAGCUCAAUUCUAUAUAUAUUAAUUAAUAUUUAUGAUUAUUUAAUAGCCUUCAUGGUUAAUUAAUUAAUUUGUUAAAUUAUUAUUUAAUUAGUAUUUUGAUAUUAAUUAAUUAUAUAAAAUAUUAUUAUUUAAAACUAUAAUUACUCUUAUUUCAAUUAUUCCUAUCUAACUAUCUAAAUAUUAUUUUUUUAUUCUCGAAAAUAAUCUAAUUUUCAUUUAAAUAUAAAAUUGAUCCUAUUCCCGCUUAUUCCCAAAGUUGUGCAUAUCUCAAGAAUAACUAAAAGAACUUAUUCUCAUACCAAACGAUACCUAAGAGGUAGGAAAUUCAAUCUCCUGCCAAUGCAAUUUGAUUCACUGCCAGUGCAAUUAUAAAAUAGGGACAAACUUAUAUUUAUAAAAUAUCAGUUUCUAUACUUUUAAAACCACGAAGUUAUUAGUGUUUAUAGGUUUUCAACCAAGAUUUAUAGGAUUAAAAAUAGUAAUCCACUAGGAUUGAAUGGGUGGUUGAUGGAAUAGCAAAAUCUAAGGAGUGAAAUUGGUCAAAAAAAUAGAUUUAACGUUAGAAAACUUAUAAGCACUUGGUGCAUGAUACUUGUAAACAGGGGCGGAGCUAUAGAGGGGCCCACAAUGGCCAUGGCCCUCUCUAAAUUUUUUAAAAUUACAUAAAAGUCCUGUAUAAUAAAAAUUAAAAUAUUAUAAAUUUUAAAUUUAGGAGGCCAAAUUAAUUUUUUAAUAAAAUUUAUGUCUUAAUUUUUUUUUCAAAUUUUUUGGUUCUUUCCCUUCAACUCUUACCGUCUUGUUUCUCUUUGAGCAUAUUAUCGUUAUUGUUACUAGUAAUAACUGCUCAGUGAAUCUGACAAUUUUAUUUUUUCUUAUUAUUCUAGAUAAAAUUUUUUCCUAUCAAAUUUAAAUUUUGGCCCUUCCGAAUCUUAAUUUCUGGCUUCGUCCCUGCUUGUAAAAACACUAUGGAGCCGUUUGGUUGGAUAUAGUUGUAAAUGCAGUGUAGUUAAAAAUACAUGCAGUUGAAAAUGCAGCAGUUGUAAUUACAUAUAGUUUGUUUGAAUUUGUGUAAAUGCAACUGUUGCAGUUGCAUUUCUUCUAUUUAGUAAUUUGAAGCUGAUAGUUGUAUUUGCGAAUCUUAUCAUCUCUUUAGAUAGAAUGGUGAGAUUACCUUCACUAUACAUAAAAUAAUUAUAUAAUUUUAUUAAUCAUUUAAAUUUACUAUUUAUAAAUAGUAAAUAAGUGAAUAUAUAUAAUAUUUUUAUAUUUUUCAAUAAUUCUUCAACUUAUCAAUCGACACAUUUAAAAUUUUUAAUUUAUUUAAUUUUAAUAUGUAAAUCAAACUUUAAAAAUUUAAUCGAUUCUCUCAUUGUUUUAUCAAAUUUAAUAAUUAUAAUUAAAUAAAACUUGUUAAGUUGACAUACACAAUCAUAUUCUAUGAAAAUUUAGAAAAACAAAUAUUUUUUAUAUUUUGAAUUAAAUAAAUUUAAAAAAUUUAUUUUUUUGCACGAAACUUGUAUCGCCUAAAAAAUGUGAUUAGCUAGUAUGAGUUUAUUUACAAGUCUUUUUAUUUAUCUAUAUAUANUAUAUAUAUAUAUAUAUAUAUAUAUAUAUAUAUAUAUUAUUUAUUUAUUAUUGUUAAUUUGUGGGUGAUUCUAUUUCUCACCAGCUGCUGCAGUUAGAACUGCAGCAAAUUUGGAUAUAGUUCCAACUACAAUAUUUGAAUCUUCUUGUGCAGUUGCAAUUGCAGCAGUUGGACUCAACUGCAUUAAACCAAAUACAGAAAUUGAGGUUGCAUGCAGUUGUAAUUGCAGUGCAGUUGUAAAUACGUGCAACCAAACAGCCCCUAUAUUGGACUAUAUAUAUAUAUUUGUGAACAUACAGGCUUUAUGGCUUGGAAAUACUGGCGGGCUAAAAAAAAAAGACAGAAAAGAAAAUAACAAUUAUCAUUGUCAACUUGUGCAAAUUUUUCCAUGAGGAGAAGGUACAACAUGAGGAGAGAGAGAGAGAGAGAGAGAGAGAGAGAGAGCGAGAGAGAGUGUGGUGUGGAGUGUGUUAUACGAUGUUUUCAAGUGAUAGUGAGCAAAUGAAACUCUCAUUCUUUCUAUUCAUAAAAUUCGGGAAUAAAUACUUAGGAAUUGCUAUUAUAGUGUGGAUUCUAUCUAAAAAUUAUAAAACUUGAAUUUUAGAUAUAUACUUCAAAUAGCGCAAAUCAUGUUUAAAAAUCAUGAACUUUUUUUUUUUUUUUGGUGAUAUGUUAUGGUUAGAAGGUUAUCUUCGCAUCGGGAUAUUAGGUACGAAAUUAGCUCUGCAAGCAGUGUUUUCCUUGUGAAAACAUUAUGUAAUCCCAUUUUAUGAUUAAUUGACCGCGAACUGAAGCAUCCAUAGAUGCCCUGAAUGGUAAACAUUGUCAACAAGGAAUCAUGAAAAUGUCCAACAUAUAGAAGAGUAUUUGGGCUAGCUAUUUAACCAAGCUGCAUCAAUCCGAAUGCGAUGAUUUUAUACCGGGUUCGGGUUUAGAUCAAUUUCGACUCGAAUUUAAAUAAGACGGGCUGGAAAAUUAAAACAAUAAAUUUCGUCUAGCCCGAGUCAGGGCCAAAUUUGCAUAUAUCAGCAAUCGUGCACAACUAAUCCAUCAACUCGUUAGAUCUGAACAUACUAAGCCCAAACCCAUCCGAUCCAAUAAGCCCAACUUGCCAAGCUCGGUCCAAACUCAAAGCUCGGCGUGGUCGGAUUCGAACCUCCUCUUUUAAUCAUUUAAAAUAACCCUGAUUCUCCGAAAUCUUUUUUUUUUUUUUUUUAAGAGAGAUAGGUAGCACGCUACCUGCUACGUUUAUUUCAUUUAGAAAUAAACUUAGCUAGAAAUGUGAAUCAAUUAGGAUUCGAACUUGAGUCUCGGAUACCAACUACCAAGUCCUUUGCCACUUGCUCUAGGGACGGUCGGUGAUUCUCCGAAAUCUUAAGCUGCUGAAGAAUGUUAUUUUAUAUUAUAUAUUCAACGUACUAUAUACUACAUGGCGUGACGGAGAUCAAAUUUCAUCAUCUAAUCAUAGCUUAAAAAUCUAAUCGAUGCAUCUUAGUCUAUACCUUAAUGAACAUUUAGAAAAUUCAUUUGUCAAUGGCUAUGAGAGGUCCAAAAUUUGAAUUUAAAUAACAAUAUCUACUUAAAUAUACUCCUAUUUAAAUAUACUCAAUUAAACAACAUAUAUAAUUGGAAAAUUCUGAAAAUACUGUGCACUAUAAGUGUCCUUUCAUAUGAUGUGAUCUUAGUUAUAUAUAUUUACUAUUUAAACAUGCCAUUGAAUUAAAUUCAAGGGAAACUCUGUGAAUUUCCUUGAAGUGUAAACUAAACCAAAUUUUCAGGAACCUUUCCUUAUCAAAGUACUCUUCAAACAAAUAAAAAAAAAAAAGGAAAAAAAGAAAAAGAAGUCAUUUUCCUCUCUUUUUUAAUGUCAGGUAAAAUAGGAACCACAAAUGCCACGUGUAAGGAACCCAUUUGUUGAACCCUUUUUAGCAAUAAGUCGCAGUUACAGCAUUAAAUCCUCAUCAACAAGUCAGAGGCUUACAUAUGAAUUUGUCACGGAUAUUAGGGAGGGGUGACAAAGAAAUCUCAAUAAGAAAUGGACCAUGGUGUUUUCAUUUUUGUUUUGUUUUGCAAUGUAAAACCUACAGGCAAAUUCAUUGAUUCUAAAAGUCGUAAGUUACAUAGAAAAUGCAUACAUAAACAUGAUAGAGUAUGAAAGUACAAGUUUAAUACGUUCAAUGACAUAACAGGUAUCCUAUGUCCAAACUUUUCGAUUCAAUUCCCAAAAGAGAUGUGUACAUUAGUUACUGUCAUCGGUUGUAGACUAGUGGUGUUUGUUGUAAAAUUAUAUAAAAUAAUAAUUAUUAUUUUUUCAAAAUCUUAAGGUGGUAUUUGUUGGGAGUCUAGCGUUACUCGAAUUCAGAAUAUUCUGCUUUAAUAUCAUAUUAAACUAGUAAAAUUAUCAGCGCAUUGCAAUGAGCUAAUACUAUAAAAAAGACAAAAAAUUGAUAAAGUAAUAAUUUUAAAAUUUUUUGAAUUGCAUGAAACAUCAAUAAGUACAAAUAGUAUAAAAAAAUAUAAAGAGAUUUUAUUUUACUUAUUGUUUUUUGUGAAUGCGAUGUAACGCCCCCAAUGGUCCCACAUCGGAUGGGAUAUUGAUUCCGAUCAGUUUAUAUGAGAUCUACACGCUAGUAAUAAUAACUGGGCUUAAGCAUUUUGGGCGGAUGGUUUGGACCCAACGAGUUAUUGUUGCUAGCGGGUCGGGUCGUUGUAUGCGAUUUGUUCAGAUGACAAUAUUCUAUAUGAAUAAAUUAAUUAGAAAGUGAGUGGGUGAAAACAUAAAACAUCAGUUGGAGAUUAGAAGUGGAAAGGUGAAGCACCAAGAAGUGAAAAUUUAUACAUCCCGAAGUACAGUUGCUAUACCGCAACUCUGUUCAAAUGUUGGUUGUAAGGUCGGAGAUUCAAGCCUUUGAAUAAAAUUAGAUUUGUUGCUCGUACUCCGUAUCUAUGAAAAUGAUUAAAAAUAAAAAACAUCAGCUAUAUGUAAUGAUGAUUUUGGAAAUACUUAGCAAUUUUCAUUUCUGGUGAAUAUUGUUAUAGAUUCAAACUAUCAAAAUAUUGUCUUAAUGAACUGCUUACAUAUUAAUGUCAAUUCUAAACUAAUUUCAUCACGCAUUUAUGUUGGAUUAUGAAAAUUUGCUGCUUAUGCAGAAUCUAGUUUGGUAAUAUUAUGGUAAACAAUAUUUAUUUUAUAGAAAGGUUCAAAAAUUUUAAAUUGCUCCUAAUUUUCUUUUAUACUAUAAAAAUUACAGCGAUAAUCACCACCGAAAAAAUAUGUGCUUGACGGUUGUCGAAAAUACUUUAAUAUUUUUGGACUUUCUAAAAUACAAAAUAAGUACUUUUGGUUAUCAUAUUAUCAAACUAGGCCUUAAUCUAAAUUGUAUUUGUAAUUUUAACUUUUAUCAAUGAGAUAUUAUUUUUUAGAAUUGAAAGUAAAGAUAAAAUAAGUUAAAUUAGGUCGGCACCUCCUUUUGUAGAAAACUCUAGGCAAUAAUAAUAAUUAAUUAAAGAGUGGUGAAAUAGAGUAGUGUGGACACUAAACUACCCGAUUUUUUUAAUUAAUACCUUUUACUUUUAAUUGUAUUCAUUUACUUUAUCUUUCGAUUAAAUAUAAAACAUAUUAUAAUCAAUAAUUCUCUUACUUAUAGGGGCUGUUUGGUUGGAUGUAGUUACAGAAACAGUGUAGUUGGAAAUACAUGCAGUUGCAAAUGCUGCAGUUGUAACUAUACCUAGUCUGUUUGGUUUUACGCAGUUGCAACUGCUGGAGUUACAUUUCUUCUGUUUGGUAAUAUGAAGCUGAUAGUUGUAUUUGUGAAUUUUGUCACCUUUUCAGAUAGAGUGGUGAGAUUACCUUCACUAAACAUAAAAUAAUUGUAUAAGUUUAUUAAUCAUUUAAAUUUACUAUUUAUAAAUAAAUUAGUAGAUAUAUAUAAUAUUCUUCAACUUAUUAAUCGACAUAUUUAAAAUUUUUAAUUUAUUUAAUUUUAAUAUGUAAAUCAAACUUUAAAAUUUAAACGAUUCUCUCAUUUUUUUUAUCAAAUUUAAUAAUUAUAAUUAAUUAAAACUUAUUAAAUUAACAUACACGAUCACAUUCUAUAAAAUUUUUUUAAAAAAACUAUAUUUAUAUUUUAAAUAAAAUAAAUUUAAAAAAUUUAAUUUUUUGCACAAAGCUUGUAUUGUCUAAAAAAUUUUAUUAGUAUGAGUUUAUUUACAAGUAUUUUUAUUUACCUAUAUACAUAUAUUAUUUAUUUAUGUAGCUAUUUAUUUAUUUAUUUAUUAUUGUUAAUUUGUGGGUGAUCCUAUUCCUCAUCAACUGCUGCAGUUGGAACUACGGCCAAUUUGGAUGUAGUUCCAACUGCAGCAUUUGGACCUUCUUGUGUAGUUGGAACUACAGCAGUUGAACUCAAUUACACUAAACCAAACAAAGGAAUUGAAACUGCACGCAUUUGCAACUGCAUGCAGUUGCAAAUGCGUGCAACCAAAAAGCCCCAUAUAGCAGUCACUAUUUGUAUGACGAGAACUACUAUUAACCGAAAAGUAUUCAAAAUUGGUAAUUAAAAGAAAAAAAAAACAUUAGUUAAAUGAUCAAUAGUUAAAAGGGCCCCUACAUUAAUUUUUACCUAAAAUAUCAAGACCAAAUCAACGACAAGUUAGUUGAUUGGUUGCGAAUUUUUAUAAUCGUCACGCUAACUUAGCAUCUUACAAAAAAGGUAAAAAUAUUAUACUUACAAAUAAAUUUUAUAAUAUUUUAUAAAUUAAUAACGUGGCAAUAUUUAAUUGAUAAAGAAUUAAAAAAUAAAAAAAUAAAUAUAAUUUAUAAUUUUAAAGUUACGACCAUUCAUUAAAUUAAAAAAUUUAUAAAAUAAUAUAAGAUUUAUUUACAAACGUAGCAUUUUUCUUAUAAAAACCCACCACUGAUCAGCAUUGCCCAAAGGGGUAAUAAUGGGUUAAAGCUUAAUUUUCUUUAAUAUAUAUAGAGUCAGUUUUUUUAGGUUCCCAAAGAUAAGGGGACCAAAAUAUCCAGCGAGAUUAUUGACAAGGACAAUAGUGACUGUGUCUUUGUCUACAUUCUCAGAUAUUAAGAUUGAGCUGUUUAGGGAGGAGAUAGGAGUUGCCUAAAAUGGAAGAAAAGCCGGUUGCUUAUGAUGGACAUGAAGGACACGCAGCACCGUUUGUGGUAAAAACGUACCAAAUGGUGAACGAUCCGAGGACGGACGUGCUCAUAAGGUGGGGGAUGAGGAACAACAGCUUCCUCGUGCUCAACCCCGCCGAGUUCUCGCAGUUCCUCCUCCCUUGCUACUUCAAGCACAACAACUUCUCCAGCUUCGUGCGGCAACUCAAUACCUAUGUAUUUACUUCUCCGUUUACUAUCUUAUCGUUUGUUCAGAUGAAGUACACACUAUCUUGUGAUUUGUUUUUUCUUUAUUGAAGUGCAUGCAUGGUCUUUUCAAAUGCAUCAUUGUUUGUGUGAUUUUUAAAGCAUUGUAGAAUAAAAUCCAAUAUUAGAAAAAGAUUGUCCACUAUUUCAUCAGUUUGAGAGAAAAAUAUGCAUUACACUAGAUUGCUAUAUACGAUAGAGGUUUUAUGUGUGGCGCCGCAGUUUGUUAGUAGCAGAACUCAAAUUUUUUUACCUCAUCUGUGGUACUCUUCUCUACUUGGUUUAGGGUUUUCGCAAGGUGGAUCCGGAUAGAUGGGAGUUCGCGCACGAGUCAUUCCUUCGAGGCCAAACCCAUUUGCUCCCCUUAAUUCUUCGGCGAAAGAAGAAGAAGAGCCUUUCGAAUGAACAAUCGAGCAGCAAUAGCCGUGCGAAGGAUAGUGUGGUAGACGAAGAUGAGGAUGAGGAUGUGUUAGUGAAAGAGGUAACGAGGCUAAGACAAGAACAACGACUACUCGAAGAAGAGCUUCAGGGGAUGAACAAGAGAAUACAGGCGACAGAGAGGCGGCCGCAGCAAAUGAUGUUGUUCCUCGCUAAGGCUGCAGAUGAGCCCGAAUCGCUCUCUCGUCUUAUACUAUCCAAGAAGCAGCAAUUCGCGGCUGAGAAGAGGCGCCGCCUCGUAAACUCUCCUAUUACGUCUACUUCUACUACUACGGCUCCGCUCACUUUAACUGGUCCAUUAAUGGAGCUCGGAUUUAAUGAAGAGGUGAUUACUACACACAGUGUCGACGAGGAGAAGAAGCCAUUGUACACAGUUUCCAGUAGCGUUGCAGGGAUCGAGCCAAGUGGUUGGACCGAGUUCGGACUAGAACCUGAACCAAAGUCGGCGUCAGCGACAGAUUCGGUGCCGUUUCCUUUCUCUUUACUAGGACGCGGGUUCUUCUCGUAGGACCACGUGUCUGUAAGUGAAGAGUAGGUAUCAUUUCAAACAUUUUUAUUUGCCGUAUCCUUUGUAAAUUAGAUAUUGUUCGCCUUUCUAAGGAUUUGCUCGCGUUAGUUUAUUUGCGUCUUUUUUAGACUUUUCUCCCGUGGUUCUACAAUAAGAAAAAGAUCACUUCUACUUAAUGAGGACAAAUUAGGGACUCGUGUCGAUGUGGUAGAAACGUUACACUUUUCUUUUCUUUUUCUCUUUUUGUGUUGACGUGGGGUUAGAGGUCACAAAGUUCAGUUUUAGGCGAAAAGCACUUCUCAACUUUUGCUUUCGCGGGGAGAACUUUUAGCUUUGACUUGAUUUUCUGGAGAAGCCAAGUAGAAGGUAGAUUUUGUUCAAUAGUGGAAUGAAGCGCAACUGUUAUGUAAAUGGGACGAUCUUGCCGCUCAAAUUUAUCGCAUGAACCUCAGAUCCAUAAAUCUAAUAAUGUUCAAAACAUAAAUCUAAGAUCUUAAAAUUUAAAUAACUUUUACAUAUAUUAAAUACAACAAUAAUUUAAAUAUUAAAAUCAUUAUAUUUUUUUUUUACCAUACAAAUAUUUGAAUUACAACUUCCCCAUUCAUCAGUGUUAACAGAGGAGGUGAGCCCAGUGGGGCCCGCGUGCCUAGCUGGAAUUGGACACGCGCCGAGCUAAUAGAGAUGGGCCUUAUUUUGCUCGUCGGUAGAACAGUAUGAUUUAAUAAAUAAAAUUGACCAAAGGAUUAAAUUUAAUGGUGAAAAUUUAAUUACACUAAAUACUUUGUGCUAUUAGAAGUAUUCUAGUCGGACUGUAUAAACAUCAGUACAUUAGAUUCCUCUUUUCUGAAGAGGGGAUGUUACAGAUCAUAACACAUCUUACUAAAAUAGCUUGUUCUUAUGUGAAUAGGAAAAGUUUUCCUUGGAAAUUAAUUAAUUGUAAACAGAAUCAUAAUGCAUCAGUAAUAUGUCAGAAGCAGUGUAAAUUGCUGUUCUGUUUUUGUUAACCCACUGCCACAAAUUUUUUAUAAUUUUGAACAUGAAUAAUAAUAAUAUAUAUUAAAUCUGACUUCCUAUGGCAUAUAACAAGCUAUGAAAAAAACAAAUUAAAAGACUUGAUUUAGCAGUCCUAAUUAACUUUUAUUUCAUAUAUACCAAUGUCGAUCAUAUCUUUCAAUUUUAAGAGAAGUGGUAAUUACAAUUUAGUCAUAUAUCUAGUUUAAUAUGAAUAGAAACUGUAGUUUAUUAUUGAUUAUGACGAUGCGCAAGUCCACUGCUAAGCCGUGAACUUAAAUCCAUUAAAAGAGUUUUCCUUACGAAAAAUCGUAAGUCGUCUUUUGUGAAUUGAUCUAAAAUGCAGCCUGCGAGCACACGACAAGUCUUUUGGAGCUAUUAUUUCCACUUUCACUAGAUUUGGACGUAUCUAUGAAUACAUCCUCUGAACGCCCCUUAAGCUAUAUGGAUAAAUUGUGUGUGCGCGCGCUUGCUUUUGUGUGUGUGUAUAUAUAUAGAGUAAGGCUACUACGCUAUCAAAAGCAAGGAGUCUUUUGUGCUUCCAGCUCGUUUUCGAUGUUGCGACUUUCGAAUCGUGGAUCGGCUCCAUUAAACUUGAUCUAGAGUAUUUGAAGUACCUAGAAAAUAAAUUAUGCAAUUUUUUGAUAUUAUUUGCCUAGUGAACGAAGGGGCUCAAAAUCAACGGCUGAAAAUAAAAAUCUUACAAAACGUGAUAAUAUGACGUUAAAAUUUUAGAUCAAAAAUAUUGAACUUGUUUUAUAUAGCAUAAAGAAUUUUCUAUCAAAGUUUCACGUGAUUUGGAUAUUUCUACACUGUUAAACUUGCAAACGGCUCACUGCGACCAUUAAAAUUAUUAAUUUUGAGCCCCUUCGAUCACUAGGCAAAUGAUAUCAAAAAAUCAUAAAAUUUAUUUUCUAGAUACUUCAAAUACUCUAGAUCAAGUUUAACGGAGCCGAUCGACGAUUCGAAAGUCGCAACAUCGAAAACGAGCUGGAAGCAA
RNAcentral lists this long non-coding RNA (52814 nucleotides) under Ananas comosus (pineapple). Its description in RNAcentral is "long non-coding RNA (ACOM_LNC024875)". The record is from RNAcentral. Lineage: Eukaryota; Viridiplantae; Streptophyta; Magnoliopsida; Poales; Bromeliaceae.